Molecule: long non-coding RNA, 51481 nt
Filed under: Ananas comosus (pineapple)
Lineage: Eukaryota; Viridiplantae; Streptophyta; Magnoliopsida; Poales; Bromeliaceae
Description: long non-coding RNA (ACOM_LNC027534)
Source: RNAcentral
UUAAGAUCCACGUUAUUAGAAAAAAUAAAAUAAAAAUAAAAAUAUUUAAAAAUAUAUUUUUACGUUUUUCGAUGGAACUGAAAAAAAUAUAAUAUAAUCGACUUAUAAUAAUAUACGAAAAUAAAUAAAAUAUUUUUUUAUUGUAUUUUUUUUUCACACGUAACCCAAUCUUUCUGUAAUUCUAAGACUUAGUUUGAUAUUGAGUUCUAUCUAACGCUAUUAAAUAAAAUAGAGUUGAAGAAAAAGAUUAUAGGAAUAUGCUUAUGUAUUUUGCAGUGGGACAGCAGAAAAUAUAUCGUCAGCAGAAAAUAUAUCGUAACCGACUCAUCGUGCUGAACGCAAUAUUACGUACGAAAACAAAUAUAAUAUUUUACCAACAUAUUUUCUCAUCGCACGUAACGCAAUCUUCCCGCAAUCCCAAACCAACCCUAAAAAUAAAGUCUAAGUUUUGAAGCGGAGAAGCGCUUCUCGAACCCGCGCUUUUGCUGCUGCUGCUGCUGCUGUUGUUGGUGUUGGUGCAUCGCGAUUGCUUCCUCGACCCGAGCAUUUCCUGAAACCGUUCCAAAAACUACCAAACAAACACUCGCCGCGGAACGAGGCGCCAUUCCUCGCCCCGAUUAAUCGGUACCUCCCCAGUCUCCUCGUCCUCCACCCUCGCUUCGAGUUUCUCACUCUCACUCGCCGGGGAACGCUCGCGUGGACCAGGUCCACCACUUCAGCAUUGGACGGUUCAUGCAGUAGCUUUAUGUAAAAGUACAGAUAUUUCAGAUAAUAAUUAAUUAAUAAUAAUAACUAACAAAAGUUUACGGACUUGUUAGGACACAUGAAUAUUUUAUUAUGUUUAUUUUUUAAAUUUAUUUAAAAAAUUUAUACACAUCACGCGGUUGAUGGAAAGUGCGAUAAGAUAUUUAUAAUAAAAUAUAUACCGCAAAGUGCGAUAGAAUAUUUAUAAUAAAAUAUAUACCGCUAUCUAUCGAGUCAUCUUUUAGAAUAAAAUAGAUUAUUUCGUAAAGAAAAUAUACUGUACUACCAAAUUAUGUAUAAUAGUAAAUUUUAAAAUAGUAAAAAAGUCAAACUCCUUAAUUACAAUCAUAUUAAAAAUUUUUCAUGCCAUAUAUAUUUUUUAAAAAUUUAACCUAUUUUAACAUUCAAAAAAGUACAUAUUAUACUAAGGGUGCGUUUGGUUCGCAUAAUAAAAGAUUACUAGGAAUAAAAGAUAUCCGAGAAUCUUAUUUCUAUUAAUCCUAUUACUAAGAAUGUGGAAUUCCUGUGUUUGGUUCGCACGGUAAUAUUAAUUAGCCAUAUUAUUUAAUAUUACAAAAAAUAUACAAUUAAUUAAUUUAUUUAUUUAAUUAAUUUUAGAUAAUGUUAUCAAAAGUUUGNUCCCUCAAGGGAAUGAGAUUAGUAUUUUGGAGUGAAUCUUAUUCCCAAGUGAAUCCGAUAUUACCAACUAGAUUACUUAGUGCGUUUAGCCAAACACCGUCAUAUUUUUUUAUUCCCAUUGGAUUACUAGAAAUCUUUAAAAGAUAGCGCGAACCAAACGCACCCUAAAUUAUAAGGAUAUAUAUCAUUUAAAGUUGAAUAUUAUAUUAUGCAGAAUAAAAUUUUAUCAUCUCAUAUGGCUGAAUUUGCUGUAGGAAACUUAAAGUUGGAAAAUAAUAAAAAAAAUUUUCUACGGAACAAAAAGUUGUCUGGUCCUUUGCUAAGGUCGUUGAUUGGUGCACCUACAUUUUUCUACCCUCAUUUUACCAAAGGUUAAUGACACCAUUACUCCCAACCUUUCUUUAUAAAAUCUCAAUUGGGCCCCUAACUUAUUUUUAAAUCUCUAAUUUUUAUAAUUUAUUUUAAUUACGAUUCUGUCGCCUAUCUAUUAUAUAUUAUCUAUUGUUGUUAUUAUUAUUAUUAUUAUUAUUAUAUAGUAUUUAUUUUAAUAAAAUUGGUUUGUGGCAAUAUAUGGUUGACCGAAUUUUAGGAAAAAAAAUUUCUCCUCCAUGAAUAACUUUUGGACUGAUCAAAGCUAUUCUUCUUCUUUUCUUUUAAUUCUUUUUUUCUUCUUUUUGUUUUUAUUUCUCACUUUGUUUCUUAUUUUUCUUUUUUGUUCUUCUUUGUUAUCCCUCGUUAACAUCCUCAUCAGUUAUAUUUCUACCAUUUUCUUUUUUUCUCAUACCUUUUUUUUUCUUUCGCUUUUUCCCUUCUAAUCUUUUUAUUUUCCUCUCUCUUUUCUACCUCUUUAAAAUAUUGGAAACUCACAUGUUAAUUGAUAAAACAAAAUAAAAUUAUGGAGAUUAAAUAGUCGAUUUAGAACAAAAAAUUUAAAAGACGCAGUUAAAAAAUUAGAGAAAAGACCAAAUUAACAAAUAUGUAGAUGUAAAAAUAAAAAUUAUGAUAGGAUAACAGAGAAAGUCUAUAGUAUUGUAUUUACAUCAUACAUCAUCAGUCAUAAAUUAAUCAUAUAUAUAUUUUUUUACGAUAAAUGAAUGAAUUUAAAAAGACCAGUCAUAUUAGUUGGAACGCUACGACAGGGAUAUGAUUAGUGGAUUUUAAAAUUAUUUUAGAUAACGAGAGACUCCACCUACCGCGUACCGUUUUCUAGAAAUCUGACCUUGCGAAUUUCCCAAAAUAACCCUUGCCACGUUGCACCUAUCAAAACCUUGUACAUUCCCCAAAUUGCCCCUCCUCGUGCCUCUCCAUCAUGCUCCGGUUGCAGUCAAUGCCCCAACAGCGUGAUGCUCCACCGCGCCAUUCCUACCCGCACCCGAAAGUCGCACCCACCCGCACCCGACCCGCCCCGCCGUCGAAUCACCGCGCCACGUCGGACGGGUCGAGUCGCAGAGUCUUCGCCUCCGGUCCCACCAAGGCGCCGCAGGAAACCAAACAGCUCAUGCGUUCGGACUCCGCGGGCCCCACUCGCCCCCGAAACCCACGAGAAUUUUCGACCAAUCCAGGCCGGUUGAUUUUUGUUUUUUUUAAAUUAGUAUUAAUAUAUAUAUAUAAAUAAUAAAAACCGAUUUAUUUAUAAUAAUUGCACCUGCCACCCCCACCGCGCGAGCGCAUCUCCGCCGUCCAUCAGAUGGGCCUCCGCUAAUUCCCCUCGGCCCAAAGGCGAGCAAGUGGGCCCGGCCCAAAAAGGUUCACGGCAAUGAUGGCUCCCAACGCCAGAUCAAAAAGACGACGCGCUCUCUCUCUCUCNUUAUCCGAAGAACUUUAAACUUUAAAUCUCUAAUCUAUAUAACUGUUAUCCUAAAAAGUCAUUUAAUUUACUUCUAAACUCUUCACACUCAACUGAAAAGUCCCAAUUUGACCUCAACACUCCAAUGCAACACCUCUCCCUCCACACACACAAAGGAGCCAUUUUUAAACCGUGAUUGCGUAAACUAUCCCCUAUGAAGCAAAACCCUAAUCCCCAAAUCACCAAAUUAAAGCAAAUGAAAGAGAUUAACCUGCCAUUAGGUGAGCUCAAAUCGACCUUGGGGAGCCCCCCGUUUCCUUCGGAGAUCUUAACACCCGGAGCCAAAGUUUUUUGCCCCAAGCUCGCAUAAGCGAUCCCAAAUCGCCUGCGCGAGAACGAACCAAGAGGUAAUGCUUCAAUCUUUAUAGGAAUAUGAUAACAAAAUGGAUCCGAUUGCAAUAGAAAUAAGGGUAAUUGCUUGCCGAAUCACGAAGGGUUUGCGUACCUACGAUGGCGCGGGGAGUUUGGGUUGGAGAGAGUUAGGGUUUUGAAGGAGGAGGAGGAGGAGGAGGAGGAGGAGGAAGGGGGGGUGGUGGGUAGGGAAGGGGAGGUGAAGAGGCGGAGAUGAUGGUGUCGAGGGGGUUGUUCGGAUGGUCGCCGCCGCACAUGCAGCCGCUCACGCCGGUCUCGGAGGUGUCGGAGCCUCCGGAGUCGCCGUCGCCGUACAUGGAGUCGGGGCCGGAGGCGGUGCCGGUGGAGGACGAGGGGCCGGUCGACGAGGGCGAGGAGAUCGAGCCGCCGCCCGCCGCCGUGCCCUUCUCGAGGCUGUUCGCGUGCGCCGACGGGCUCGAUUGGGGGCUUAUGGUGGCUGGGUCGGUCGCGGCGGCGGCGCAUGGGAUGGCGCUCGUCAUAUACUUGCAUUUCUUCGGGAAAUCAAUCAAUCUCCUCACCCCACAGAGCAUCCGCUCGGCGAUGCGCAGGGACGAUGAAGAGCUCUUACACAAAUUCAAGGAGGUGAGUCAGAAAUUGAUAGAUAGAGGUACUUGUGGAAUGUUUUGGUGAUACGUGAUGCAGACCCUGGUUUCCUUUUCUGGCCAUGUAGUUUUUUUGACUUGUAGUUUCUACAGCUUUGCUUAGUUUAGCUAUUUUGAUUUAUCCUUUGGGGAACUACAGAUACACUACAAUCUAGUAAAAUUUUGUGUUUUGGGUGCAUUCGAACCCUUCGUAAAACUUUCGAUGAUCUGCCCAAGGAUGAGCUUGCUGUUUCUUCUCUUUUUAAAACCUCAGACAUGUUGUGUUUGUUGCACUCUAUUCGUGCUUUAAGUUUUGAUUUUUGUAUGUUCAUCAAUGGUAAAUAUCUAUUUUAAAGUUAGUGCCUUCUUAUCAUCUAACAUAGUGGGCUUUUGGUCUACCAUCCUUAUAGCGGCCUUUAGCCACCUUGUAGUUUUACAAUAAAAACUUUGGUUCCUGACCCAGUUUAGCUUUGCAUUUUGGCAACUCAAAUCUGUAGCGAAUAAUUAAGCUUCUGCUUUGCUAUUUCCCUCUACUUGUUGUAUAACUGCAUAUAGCCGGAAUGUUUUGGUUGAGUUAUUUCAGUUUCCCAUAUCAGACAUUUUAGGCUUCUGAGAUUCUACUUAUUAAGAUGUCCAUUUCACAUGGCGAUGUAACAAACUGUUAAUUUUGGUAUAAGAUAUGUGCUUAUCUUAUACCAUCUCGUGGGGUUGUUUCGUGGAUCAAGCUGUAAUUCUGUAGGCUUAGUGACAGUUUCAUAACUUAAUCCCAACUUUACUACAUCCUAAUAUUGUAUUCCCUCUACUUUUCUGUAUAGACCGCACUGCAUAUGAGGCCUUAUAUGCGGUGGCGCCGAGAAUGCACAACUUAUGCUAUUUAUUGGCCCUUUAUUCAGGUGACUGCACAUGUAAUUUGCAUUCACAUAUGUUGACCACAUAAUGUGGCCGCAUAUGGACAAUACACAUAUGUAGUUCACAUAUGGGUCACGUAUGCUGUCCGCAUACCAACAGUAGAAUAGCUGAAGCUAAUGAGCAGUGGUUAGACAACAAAUUUUAGGGGCCUAGAGAGUGGUUCCCUAUUCACGAUAUCUUACUUCUAGUUUUAUAGACAUUAUCAAACUUAUUUAGAGUAAUCUAUGAUAUUUUUAUUGUUUUGUAUAUCCAAACUGCAUAUGCGCUAUGCAUACUUCUAAUUUUCUAAUCUAUGAUCUUGCAUAUGCGCUUGCAUUACAAAUAUGCGCUAUGCUGUGGCUAGACUGCCCGCAAUCUGUUGGGCGCCUUUUGCCCGCAAUCUGUUGGGCGCCUUUUACAACGUUGGGGAACCUUAAGGUUACCCUGGAAUAAUGCAUAGAUUUCUGUUUUAACUUCUUGAAAGCUUCUGGAUGAAUUGAAACUUUUGUUUUCUUCUUGCUCUUCUCUACUUUAAUUCUUUUCCUGUAAUAAUGCAAUUUUGUCUAUCUUGUUUUCUUGAAUUUAGCAUUGAAUUUUAUGCGGUAACCUGUUUCAUUAUAAUAAUUUUCUUCUAUCAUAUUUAUUCAUAAGAUGAUCAUAUCAAGAAUCAUUGUUGUACCCUCUUGAAUUUUAAUUUUCAACUCUUUUUGCAGCACUCUCUGUAUAUCGUCUAUAUAGCCAUUGGUGUUUUUUGUGCGGGAUGGAUAGGUAAGGGUAUGGUACUAUCUAUUUCAGUUACUAUCUACUUUUCUCUUCAUGUGAUGAGCUGAAUUGAUUAAUCUCAUAGAGGUCACAUGCUGGAUUCUUACUGGGGAGAGGCAGACAGCAGUCAUUAGAUCGAAGUAUGUUCAAGUAUUGCUCAACCAAGACAUGAGUUUCUUUGAUACCUAUGGCAACAAUGGAGAUAUUGUUAGCCAGGUGUUGAGCGAUGUGUUGCUCAUUCAAUCAGCUCUGAGUGAGAAAGUAAGUUUCUCAACAAAACCAUUUUCUAACAGUGGGUAAACAUCAAAGACAAAAAUUUCUUGGGGUUAUUUAAUUACAUAUCUAUGAAAAAAUCAACUAUUUAUGUCGAGGAUUGCCGUGCCACAGGGAUGGGGCUCAGCAGGGUCAACAGAGACCCUGCACGGAGCUCCUUUCAUGUGUUGCCCAUCAGCAUGGUUGGCCCAUAUCAACCAUGUUGACUCCAUGACAAUCCCCGUUCUAUUUAUAUAUGACUGUAGAAUCGUAUUUUCAUGCAUACCUCUUGAAAGGUUUCUUUUAUUCAUUUAUUUAUUUUUUUGAGUUGGGGCAUUUUUGUAAGUUCAGGGAUAGAUGCCAAUGAAAUUAAGUUUCUGAAGAGUAUAUAUGAAAAUUCAGAUGUUGCAGGGAUUUACUCGCAGAAAAAUAAUUUUUCUGUGGUAAAUAUCUUGUUUUUUCUCUUUUAACAUUGCAAUCUGUUUCACUCGGACUCUCAUCUUUGAAUGUCAAAAGCGUAAUACUGGGAUGUCCAUGUUGCAGGUUGGGAACUACAUACAUAAUAUGGCUACGUUUGUGGGUGGUCUUAUUAUUGGUUUGAUUAACUGUUGGCAAGUGGCACUUCUCACACUAGGCACUGGGCCCUUUAUCGUCGCUGCAGGAGGAAUAUCGAAUAUAUUUCUUCACAGACUUGCUGAAAAUAUUCAAGAUGCAUAUGCUGAGGCAGCCAGCAUUGCUGAACAGGUUCUCUUAUGAUGCCUUUAACUUACAUGUUGUGAGCUUCACAAUUUUAGCCAGCUUUAGAUUUAGAAUUAUAUCAUACUCACUUCAUUAUCUUAUAUUUGUAAAGUUUUUUCUUUUGGUCUCUAAAUUGAUAUUCGUUAUCUUUUAAAAUUAGUCCUCUUUCUUUUGAUUCGUUUCUGUCCAUUUUAUGGAAUGUUAUAUUGACAACAUUAAUUACGUAGGAAAUAAAAUGAAAACAGGUUGAAAACAAAAUGAAAAAUAAGGGUUGAGAAGAAAAAAAAAAAAUAGGUGCAGUCAUGUGCUGAAACAAAUAGCUGUAUGAUGUAUAUUGGCUUUUGUAGAUUGCUAAGUAAAACACUGCAGUAGUUUUUCUGGAAACUAAAACAGAUAAUUAGUUAAUCUGAUUGAUAAUGGCAUGUUAGCACCAGAACUUCUGCUGAGCGAUAAUUUUUUGUCAAUGAUGCAGGCCAUCUCAUACAUUAGGACCUUAUAUGCUUUUACAAAUGAAACUCUUGCAAAGUACUCAUAUGCUACCUCACUUCAAGCAACAUUGCGAUAUGGGAUAUUGAUAAGUCUUGUUCAAGGACUUGGCCUUGGAUUCACGUAUGGACUUGCGAUAUGCUCCUGUGCUUUGCAACUUUGGGUUGGGAGGUACCUGAUUUCACAUGGAAAGGCUAAUGGUGGUGAAGUUAUAGUAGCUCUGUUUGCCGUUAUCCUGAGUGGCCUGUAAGCACUUAUUUUGAACGGAUUCAUUAUGUUUUCCAUCUUAUCACUUUUCUCAUUUUAGCUUAUUCUAUUUGUAGUGGACUGAAUCAAGCAGCCACAAACUUCUAUUCCUUUGAGCAAGGGCGAAUUGCUGCUUAUAGACUUUAUGAGAUGAUAAGCCGUUCGACCUCAACUGUUAAUCAGGAUGGCAAUACCUUAGCUUCAGUACAAGGAAAUAUCGAGUUCAGAAAUGUUUAUUUCAGUUACCUCUCCCGUCCUGAAAUUCCUAUACUUAGUGGGUUCUACCUUACUGUUCCUGCUAGAAAAACUGUGGCUCUUGUUGGUAGAAAUGGUUCAGGAAAAAGCAGCAUAAUUCCUCUGAUGGAACGCUUCUAUGAUCCUACAUUAGGUAUAUUCGCCAUGUAAUAACUGUUAGUUAACUUUCGCUUAAUUUGCCUUUCUUGUAAGUUUUAGUGAAGAAGGAUUUUUCAUUUUCUGGUGCAGGUGAAGUCCUGUUGGAUGGAGAAAACAUAAAAAAUUUGAAGCUAGAAUGGUUAAGAAGCCAAAUAGGGCUUGUGACUCAGGAACCAGCGUUAUUGAGUUUGAGCAUUAGGGAAAACAUUGCAUAUGGAAGAUCUGCUACAUUUGAUCAGAUUGAGGAGGCUGCUAAGACGGCACAUGCACACACAUUCAUCAGUUCACUCGAAAAGGGAUAUGAUACACAGGUAAGAGUACAUACCAUGCUCGUAUAUUUAUUAAUGUACCUCUAGGGAUAGGUGUCUCAAGUGUAAUGUUAUGCACCUUUUGGCAUGAACACAGAGAUCUUAAAAUCCUGUUGGGUUGCGUUAGUUAACUGCAAUUCCUGAAUAAUUAGCUAUUUACAUAUAUAACUCUGCAAAAACUAAAUUCUAAUAUGUACCCUGUGGAAACUUAAUUCUUUACUUGUAUAAUGCUGUAAUUACAGAAUUUCCUGGCUUAUGAAAAGAAAAGUUAUAAUACAAAGCCAACUUCUCCCCUUGGAUUGGAUGACUCCCCAACUUUAGAUGAACGUAUCUUCUUUAGAAGCUGCACUUUUGAGGGGCGUACAUGGAAAGCUCAUUUUUACAAGGGUAUAUAUGUGAAUAGACUAUUUUACAGGGAUAAUUUUGUAAAAGACCUAAGUUUUUUAACUAGAACAACUUAGGCUCCUCUUUUUUUUUUUUCUUUGUUUUUUAGCUGCUGUUUUCUCUUCUUUCUUCUAUGCUGAUUGAAUAAUGUACAUUUAGGUUGGUAGGGCUGGUUUAGCAUUGACCGAUGAACAGAAGAUAAAGCUUGCUAUUGCUCGGGCUGUUCUGUCGAAUCCGUCUAUUCUUCUCCUCGAUGAAGUCACGGGUGGCCUUGAUUUUGAGGCCGAAAAGGCUGUUCAGGAAGCGUUGGAUAUUUUGAUGUUAGGGAGAUCCACUAUUAUAAUAGCUAGGCGCCUUAGCCUUAUAAGAAAUGCUGACUAUAUAGCAGUGAUGGAGGAGGGUCAACUUGUUGAGAUGGGUACCCAUGAUGAAUUGCUGAACCUAGAUGGACUUUAUGCAGAACUUCUUAGAUGCGAGGAGGCAGUCAAACUCCCAAAGAGGUAAGAUACACUCUAUAUAAGCUUCUUUAUUAGUUCAUAUUUAUGGUACUCUCUUGUAACUUAAAAUUACUAUAUUUUCUCGGAUUUAGCUUAUGAUCUAUAUAAUUCUUGUACUAGGGGUACUUAAUGAUUGUGGCAUGCCAAUACUAGGAGUCCUUUAUUUUUUAUUUAUGUUGUAGGCUGUCUCUUAUGGCUUGUUAGUAGGAAACUCUACAUUUUGUGGAACAAUUUUGCAAGUUCUUUCAAUGCGGAAUUAUGUGGGCCAUGGUAUUCUCAUCUAAAAAUAAUUAGUUUUUGUAUCACUUAUGCCCAAUUGAUGAUUCAAGGUAAUUUUUGUUUUCCACACAUCUUCCAUUUUGAUGAUUUCAUGCUGUUAUAAUAUAUCUGAUAUCUUCUUCACUUGAUAUAUUUCUACGUGAAGAGAUCACGUGUACAGGCGUAUAGUCAUCUACUUUGUAUCGUCCUCAAAAUAACAAAGAAAAACUUAUGAUUUGUUAUGUAAUAAGCAACUACACUUGUGAGAUAAGGAUGGCUUCAGCACGGAAUUUAUUCUUGAUUUUCUCUAAACCCUUUUUCAGGACACCUAUCAGGAGCUACAAAGAGCCUGCGGCAUUCCAAAUAGAGAAGGACUCAUCAGCUAGCCACAGCUUCCAAGAAUCAUCCUCUCCUAAAAUGGCAAAAUCACCUUCACUUCAACGAACACAGGGAUUUCUCCCAUUCAGGCAGUCAGAUGUCAAUUACAGCAAUAAUUCCCACGAAUCCCCCAAGGUCCAAAGCCCACCUUCAGAGCAAAUGAUAGACAAUUCAAUUCCCUUGGUCUCUACAGAAAGAGUCCCGUCUAUUAAAAGGCAGGACAGUUUCGAAAUGAGAUUGCCUGAAUUACCCAAAAUUGAUGUCCAAACCAUACAGAGACAAUCUUCGAAUACUUCAGACCCAGAAUCACCGAUAUCUCCGCUUUUGACCUCUGACCCGAAGAAUGAGCGAUCACAUUCGAAGACUUUUAGCCGUCCAAUCAAUCAGUUUGAUGAUGCAUAUACAAAACACAAAGCGCCAAAGGAUGUGCAGCGCCAGAAACCUCCCUCUUUUUGGAGGCUUGCACAGCUCAGCUUUGCAGAAUGGCUUUAUGCUCUUUUAGGAAGUAUUGGUGCAGCGAUUUUUGGUUCGUUUAACCCGCUUCUUGCUUACACUAUUGCGCUGAUAGUGGCAGCAUACUACAGAAUUGGUGUCCAUGAUGUACAUCAUGAAGUAAAUAAGUGGUGCUUAAUUAUUGCGUGCAUGGGUGUUAUAACGGUGGUUGCCAACUUCUUGCAGCACUUUUAUUUUGGUAUAAUGGGUGAGAAGAUGACUGAACGUGUGAGGAGAAUGAUGUUCUCAGGUGAUUGUUGCAAUUUCGUAAACAGUACACUUUUAGGGGUCUUUACGUGUAUAUCACUGCGAAAUCAUAUAUUAUAGAUAGCAUUUUCAUAACAAGAACACCCUUGUCCAAGUUCUGUGUCAGAAUUUUCUUUCCCUCAAAGAGGGGCAUUAUUUUGUAAGUACAAAGGUAUAUACUGAAGAAAUCAAGUUCGAAUGAGUAUACAUGAAAACUUAAGAUUUUACUGUGAUAUAUGUGACUGCCUAUUUUGCCUGGCUUCCGGAAGAGUGUUUCUACUCCAGGAACUCAGGAAGUAGAAUUUUUUUUAGUCACCAGGCCUAUGGCAAACAAAAAGUCUUAAGUUAUUGCUAUAGCGGGGAUCUUUUUUUGUCUGAAAGCACAGGCUCUAAUUUAAAGCUUCUGCUUUUAUUAAAGUGGGAAGCUACUGAGAUGAUUUAGGUAUAGUGUUAUUAGUGCUUUCUUGCAGAGGUAUAUAUGGAAACAUCAUGCAUUCUAACUAAUUUCAAAUGUCCUUUUUCAGCAAUGCUACGUAAUGAAGUUGGGUGGUUUGAUGAAGAGGAGAACAGUGCUGAUACACUGUCCAUGCGUCUAGCAAAUGACGCAACCUUUGUUCGCGCCGCCUUCAGCAACCGUCUUUCAAUUUUCAUACAAGACACAGCUGCAGUUGUUGUGACUCUGGUUAUCGGCAUGUUGUUGGAGUGGCGGGUGGCGCUUGUUGCCCUAGCAACUGUACCUAUCCUUACAAUCUCUGCUAUUGCACAGGUUAGCAUACAUCAUAUCUCUGUAUAGUAGUAUCUCCUUGUGUGUCGCCUGCAAAAGUGCUCUGACAUUUGUUUGUUGCCCUAUGGAUUGGUUGCUUCAACAUAAACAUUUGGCAAACUAAUAAAUCUGCAAGAGCCAGUUCCUAUACAGAACUAUGUUUGCCUUAGUUCCAUUUUUGUUAUAGCUUUCCCUUAUCCAGUUAACCUUACCUUAUUACAAAUUGACUCAGAUGCCCUCAUAAAGGUGCAACUACUGUUGCUGAGGUGUGUACAGUACCAAUGUUUUUAGGGGUACUUGCGCAAAAACUUUUAAGGGUAUACAUGCAUUAGAAAGAAACAUUUCUUUUUUCACUUUCCCUGUUUCACUUAACACCUUGCAUGCCUACGUUGCUGCCAGCUAGUUUUUUAUGCAUGAAAAUUUGACACUGCUACUUUGUUUCACUAAUUCUUCAUUUAACUCAUAAAAAUAAACAUUUGCUGUAAGAAUCAUGGCAUUAUCAUAUACUCGUACUUAGUGUUUUAGUUCUUUGAAGCUGACUGGGAACUAUCUUGCAGAAAAUGUGGCUUGCUGGAUUUUCAAGGGGAAUUCAAGAGAUGCAUAGAAAGGCCUCUUUAGUCCUUGAAGAUGCAGUCAGAAAUAUUUACACUGUUGUGGCAUUCUGUGCUGGUAACAAGGUAAUGGAACUUUACAGUUUACAGCUCGAUAAAAUAUUCAAGAAGAGUUUCCUUCACGGAAUGUUCAUCGGUUUUGCCUUUGGCUUGUCACAAUUCCUCCUUUUCGCUUGCAACGCCCUUCUUCUCUGGUACACUGCCAACUCUGUUCACAAAGGCCGGCUCUCGAUUUCUACAGCUCUUAAAGAAUACAUGGUCUUCUCAUUUGCAACCUUUGCCCUGGUGGAGCCAUUUGGACUCGCUCCAUAUAUACUUAAAAGGCGAAAAUCCCUAACUUCAGUAUUUGAAAUCAUCGAUCGAGUGCCUAAAAUUGACCCAGAUGACAAUAGUGGCUUGAAACCCCCUAACGUGUAUGGAAGCAUCGAACUAAGAAAUGUCGAUUUUGCUUACCCAACUCGCCCUGAAGUAAUGGUUCUAAGUAAUUUCAGUCUUAAAGUUAGCGGGGGCCAAACAGUAGCAGUGGUUGGUGUAUCAGGAUCCGGGAAAAGCACGAUCAUUUCUCUAAUUGAGAGAUUCUAUGACCCGACUGCUGGCCAAGUUCUACUGGAUGGCCGAGAUUUGAAGUCAUUUAAUUUAAGAUGGUUAAGAAGCCACAUGGGUUUGGUUCAGCAGGAACCCAUUAUAUUCUCCACAACAAUACGAGAGAACAUUAUAUAUGCAAGGCACAAUGCAACUGAAGCUGAAAUGAAAGAAGCAGCGAGAAUAGCAAAUGCCCACCAUUUUAUAAGUAGUUUACCACAUGGUUAUGAUACUCAUGUGGGCAUGAGAGGGGUCGACUUGACACCCGGACAAAAGCAGAGGAUUGCGAUUGCACGUGUAGUGUUGAAAAACGCUCCAAUAUUAUUGCUGGAUGAGGCCAGCUCAGCAAUCGAGUCUGAGUCAAGUCGGGUGGUUCAGGAGGCUCUCGACACGUUGAUCAUGGGGAACAAAACCACUAUUCUAAUCGCGCAUAGAGCUGCUAUGAUGAGGCAUGUGGACAACAUUGUUGUAUUGAAUGGCGGCAGGAUCGUUGAGCAGGGCACACAUGACUCUUUAGUGCAGAUGAACGGCCUUUACGUUCGGCUCAUGCAGCCUCAUUUCACUAAGGGAAUCCGGCAGCAUCGACUAAUGUAAAUCACUUAAGGUUGAUCUUCACAUGUGAAAUUUUUUCAGCCCUUCGAUUGAGUUCUCUCUCACAUCACGGAAUAGCUGAAUGAGAUCAUCUGUCACUCUGUGGCAGCUUGUGUGGAAUGGAUGAGAUGGAGAACUUCAGCGAAUUCGGGGUCGGGUUCGGGUUUGAGACACGGUUUGUUGUAGUGGGUAGGAGUUAUAUAUUCCGAAAUAGUUAACGCGGGCAUGGAGACAUUGAGCAAUAGAGUUUGGUGGUGGAAUAUUUUAAGUCUUUGGUUUAUUGUACUUAUUCUUUGGGAGGCAUGCGUUGUUGUAGUUAAUAUUUCUGCGGCUCCACGCCAUGUAAGAAUUCAAAUCUGUUUAUAGCUCUACUAACAAUGAGGCUUCUUCAUCCUGGUUGCAGCUGUUUGCUAUCCUUUUUUUCUUUCUUUCUUUCUUUCUUUCUUUUGCGUGUGUGUGUGUGUGUUAUUAUGUUGGGGCCAUUUCAUUUUAUUUGAGGAUUGGUUUUGAACAUGUGAAGGAGAAGGCAUGUUCUAUGUUUUAUUUAUUUUAUUUUUUUUGAAGGUAGGAUUAGUGCAUGAACCUGCGUCUGAUUCGCAGCUGCAACUGCAGAAGUUGAUCAGAUAUUUUUAAACCUCUUCUUGGUUCAUAUAAACUAGUUUUUCCUCCCACUUUCUUCGAGUCGAAUGCGUUAUCAUCUUGCCCUUGCAAUCAGUGUUUAGGCACAUGAAUGUUACCCCCCAAGCAACUUACUUCCAGGGCCUGUAACGCAUGUGGAGUUUCUGCGAGGGGUUGUGGCUCAGAAGCGCUCUUCGCAGAAGCACCACAAUCUAGUUUUAUUGCUAAAAUUAUCCUCUAGUAGCUUCUGUCUGUUGCAAGGGCAGAAUCUUUAAAUUAAAGCUUUAUGCUACAGCAAAAGCGCCAAGUGUUUGAUCGCCUCUUUGCAUUUUAGAGCAGCCAAUCGGUAUGAAGAUGCGUACCAACUAAAUAUAGUCAUAAGAACGGUCGAAAAAUGUAGUCAUAACAUCGGUCGAAAAGAAAAGAAAGAAAGAAGCAUUAAAAGCUUAGUUGGAACAAGAGCAAAAGUAGAACAAGAGGUAUUUGAAAAAGAAGAUAUGAAUUAUAUACAGUACAACAAGAAAAAAAAAAAUCACUCAUUUAUUAAAUGAAAGAGCCGAAUAUAUUCUCGGUCGUAAUUCAUAUGUCUAGCAUCCUGAAAGAGUCAGCUACCACUUUGAGCUUGCUGCGAACUCGCGUCCACCGUCUCUCAUUUGCACCGACAACCAGCGUGUAGUACCGACCUUCCAAGGAAAAAAGAAUGAUAGAGUGGUCAUUUCUCAAAAAACACUUGGCAUUUGCCAAAUAUGGUUUCCUCUCACAAAUUUCAGUAAUCUGAUAGAAAUGGAAGAUACAUUAAUAAUUCCGUGUCGCAGUCCAAUUUACAUUCUAUGAAGAUACAUUCUCAGUUUUAUUUUUUUGUCAGUGCAGGUCACUAGAAUGAUAAGUAAUUUGAAUCAUCUGGUUAGAUUGGAAGCCCCAGUUGUUGCGGUUCAGUGUGUUCAAAAUGAGGUUGUCAGACUACAUACCAUUCCCUAUCGCAAUGGUCGCAAAAGCAGUUCGGGAGAAGCUUGGCAAUGUAAGUUCAUACUCAAAUGUCCAGUAGUUCUUUCCAUCAAUCGUACGCUGCAUACAAUAUUCGAUGAUAUUUUAUUAUUAAGGCCAAAAGUUGAAGUUACCGAAUUCAUCUAGCAAGACUCCUAUGAAGCAAUGAACACUGCUCUUGAGUAUGUAAAAGUUUGCUGACAUACGCAUAUGAAGAACAUGCGAGGCAUAACAAACUAGAGAGGUCACUGCCCCUUUAUGAGAUAUCUAUUUAGUUACGAUUUAAACGUCAAAAAGCAACAAACCUCCUGCAUCUCAUAGAUUGUCGGCACUUGAGUUGGUGCAGCAUAUACAUCCUUUACCAAAUCGAAAAUUGCCUGCCGCGCAAAUAGAAAUGCUACUCAGUACGAAAUUUUAUGUUUUUAUAACUUUAUGAAUAAGCUCUACUUCAUAUGCCGGAUAUAUCUAUAUCUCAAAAUGCUACUCUCAGUUCAUAUGACUGAUGCAUCUCUAAAUUACCUCCUCCAUCGGACCCAAAUCACGAAUAUCUUUUUUAUCGGUCGGGAUAAAGCAAACUCUCACAUGCUGCAAUGCUGCGAAACGAUCUUUGAAUGCAGAAUCAUGCCCGAGGAAGUCAAAAUCCUGCAGCCACACAAAUUGAAAAGAGGCGUAAAAUUCAACUGCUUCCAUUCAACUGGUUUGCUGAGGAGAAUUCAUUUUUUAACGUUUGGUUAGUUUGCAUACGCAUGUAACAACUUACCCUCCAAUCUGAGGGAUAGUAAUAGGAAUAUCCAUCCUCGUAAUCCACAAAAGCUCGAUAAUUAUCCGGUACUCCUACAAUCUUGAAACAAGUUAGCAUGUAUAAGGUGGCAUAUAUAAGAUUACUAAACCAAAUGAUGGAAAGAUUCAUCAACAAAAUCAGUUCCAUGUGAAAUUCUACGUAAUUGUUUACUACUCUUCACCGUAGAAAUGGUUUCAGUAUGACGAAAAAAGAAAAUAAAUGCAGGCAAUGAUCACAGAAAGAGAGGGAAAAAUGAGAGAGAGAGAGAGAGAGAGAGAGAGAGCGAAUGAUGAUGCUACCUUCAGCAGAUGCAGAAGUGGAAUGUAACAGGCCAGAAACCAAUGCACCAGUUGCAACUAGCAUCCAUCUUCUUUUCAUAGAAGCUGUAAUAGGUAAUCUAACAUUACAAAUUUGUGGAAAGAAAAGAAGGCCUUCACACUUGAAAUAUCUGAUAAAGUUGAAUAUGAUUUACUAAUAUGGUGACAUGUAUUGAUAUGAUAGUCCGUGCACUUCGCCCCGUACUAGUUCACUCAAACACUUCAGUCUCUCGAUUUUUACAAAUGCUGCACUUUGUAAUUAAAGGGCUAAACAGGCCGUUCUCAAUUCUACAAGAGAACUAAGAAUUUUUUUUUCUGUUUUAUAGUCGACGAAUAAAGUGCAAUGUAUAUAAAAGUUCAACGAUUAAAAUGUUUAAGUGAGAAGUGCAGGGUCCAAGCCAGAAUAUUGGCGUUAAGUGUAGUACAGGAAUGUCCUAUUCAUACAUUUUACCCUUAGUAAUGUUGAACCAAUAUUUAGAUUAUAAACAUUGAUCUUCUGAAUAUCUUCCAUCCCAAAGAUUAGUACCAGAAAUGAGCAGGAAAACUUAAAAAAAAAGGGGAAAAGAGAAAAAUCAUUGAAGAUGAUGCACUGUGUCUUACUGGACAAGCACGUAGUACAUACUACAUAUCACAUAAAAAGGAAAAUAAUUCACAUUUCUUCCAUACUUUCAACUUUUAAACCGAAACAAAUUUUAAAUUAACCUUUUACAAAAUUCAAUCAUAUACAAUAUCAGCCAAAACCCGUCACUUCUCUCUUUCUAUAAUUCAGAAAAAAAAAAAAGAAAAUUUACAAAAAAAAAAAGAAUUAGAAAAAAAAAAUAGAGAUGAAAUUUGAGAGCUCAUGGCACCUGGUUGGGAAGGGAACAAAUCCAGUGGGAUAAAGCUGCCAUUUUUGGCGGAUUUGAGGAGGAAAAUUUUGAAGCAGAACGAUUCAGCUAAUUAGAGAGUAGUACAUAAAUGAGUGUGUGUGUGUGUGUGUGUGAGUUUCCCUUUAUCUAAAGCUCCCAAGUUCGUAGGCUUAAUAUAUAGAGUCCGUGUGUGUGUGUGUGUGUGUGUGUGUGUAUGUGUGUGGGUGAAAGCAAAUGUUGCCCUGUCGCAGUCGCCCCUUAUCCGUCUCAUGAAAACCUGGUGGAGCUCGCUUCGACUAAAUUUUGUUGCGGUUAAAAAUGUUGAAAUAAGGAUAAGAAAAAUACUGAAGUAAUUUAAAUCUAACUGUUUCAAUUUUAAUAGAUGAUCAUGUUAACUAUAAAGCAUAACACAAUUCCCCGUUCAAUUAGCACAAAAACCAUUGAAUUUAUCAAAACUAUAACUUAGUCGAAAUUAGCUCAAAUCAAAAUAAUCAAAAGCUAAGAAAGAAAAAAAAAACAAUUGAGGGAACAGGCCGAGAAUUUGUUAUUCGACUAAACUAUAGCCCUUCACAAAAGAGGGAAGAGAAAAGAGAGGCACACAUUUUCAACUGUUCAAGCAUAGAAGGCCCGUGACCACAACUUGUAACACAACAUUUAGCAUGUGUAUAAUCAAGAUCUAUCGAGCAGCAGUGCGCAUAUAAGCAACAGCUAGAGACCCCUCGGGACAGGCUUGACCAACCCAAGUCCCGUGCCGCUGCCCAAGUGCUUGAAGUCGGUCGCCUCCAAUUUGUCGUCGUGCCCGGCAAACCCCGUCCCGCCUCUCUCCAAGGGAACCAAGUUCCUCACUUUGCACUCCCUACUACACACCAAGCACACCCUGUCGGUCGCCACAAACUUAUCUGCGCACUUCUUACAGAACACGUGGCCGCACGUGGUGAGAGCCACGAGCGACAUCGUGUUCGUCAGGGUCACUUUGCAGCUGGGGCAGAUGUAGUUGCUGUCCGAACUCCUGGUCUUCUUCUGACCAUUACCAGUAUCUUCCGUGAAGUAGAUGGGGAAAAGGGCUUUUAGCUUCAGCUUCUCUUUUCCCUCGGGGCAAAUAGUGUCGGUGGAGGGAGCUUCGACUUUGACCGAGGCGCCUGGAGUAGCCGACGGGAGCCAAAAGGCCUUCAUGUCGCGGAGGGCUUCCUCUUCGUAGGAAGUUACUUUUACACUGUUCGCCCCGUGGAAGCCAUUCUUGUCAUGCGUGUUGCUCUUGUCGUUAUUAUACUGCGGGACGGCGCCGUGGUUCUGCUGAUCAAAAGCCUCUAGUUCUCGGGCUUUUUGCAGCAUCAGCUUCUCUUCUUGCUCUUCUUUCUCUUGAUUUUGUUGAGCAGCAUGGGCAGCAAGUUUCCUGGAGCAUAUAAAGAAUGAAGAUCAACUUUACUAAAUCAAAGAUGAGGUUUUGGACAGACAUCAAACAAAAGUUGCAACUAAUGGAUGAUAAUACAAUUCUUCUUGAGGUUCGAUGUUAGACCAAAUUAUUUGCUAAUUGCACACGUCCAUUAGGUGCGAUAUGAAUACAUAGGGGUUUUCUUUUAAUUAUACUGACACCUUAGGAUAGUAAAACUUCCCCUACAAGAUGAUUUAUUCUGUUCGGAGAGAAAUAACUAAGAGGUCUCAGGUUGCAUUCACUAUGCAAUCGUAGAAUCUUCUCAUACUCUCUAUCAACCAAUUAAACGUGUUCCUUGAGUAAACAAAAAGGAGAAGCACCCACCCAAUGCUUCUCCCACGGCAGUUCGAGUUACCGUUAUAUAACAUCAUACAUGAAAACUUCUAAAGCAUUUUUUAGAUUUUACGAGACCCUCUAAAGCAUCAAAGUGGGUGAGUUUGGCAACGACACUCCCAAACUAGCCCUUAGUUUGGGAAUCCCUAUAAAGCCUUACUAUGGCACGUUUGGCGUGAUGAGAUUUUUAACAAAAGACGACUUGAUAAAAGGGAAGUUGGUGUUAGAAAAUUUGUGUCUUUUGUUCAGAUGCUUUGGCCAAUCAACAAAUGGUCACACAGACAGAUCAAUAAAAAACACUUUAUGUUAUCUUCUAAACAAUCUAAGCCAGUUAAAUGCUGCCUACAAAUACACUAAAAUUGAGAUCACACCUGAUGACCCUUUUAACACUCUUUUAAGUGGAGGUCAGUGCUGGAACUCAGAUUGAAUCACUUGGCAAAUUUUGAAGAUGAAGCUUAAAAUAAACGGCGAUCCGGUAAAAGUACCUUCAAUUUCAGCCCCCUUUCUUUUUCAAUAAAUAAGUUUCACGUACCAAUUCAAACAUUACCAAAUUUACUAAACAUCAACACAUGAACCUACUUUAUCACAGAUAUAGCAUCUUUAAAAACUAACAUACUCAACGAAAUUAUAAAUUUAUCAACAGUAAUCUUAACAAUAAAUCAACAUAAUUAACCUCAACGUAAUUCCCCCAAUUCUCCACAAAAACUACGGUAGCCAAAAACACAAAACAUAGAUCACACAUCAAAGCGCCCACAACAGAUCCAACGAGAUCAAACAAAACGAACAUGGAUUGGAAUCAGAAGAAAGAGUGGAAUUAUAUGAAACCCUAACCUCUUGAUGUCCUUCUUUUGGGCGAGGAGGCACUCGAGGAUGCACUCCUUGCAGAAGACGUGGCCCUUUUGGCAACAGAGGGGGUCGAUGAAGGGCUUGAGGCAGAGGCAACACGCGUCGAAGGGCUUGAUCGAGUCCUUGCCGAGGCGCUCCCGCUGCGUCCCGUACCCGAGCUUCCGCUUCUCCUCGUACGUGAAGAACGCGAGGUCAUUGUUGUUCUUCGAGUGCCGCUGCGGCAUCCUCCCUUCUUCGUCUCUAACCCUAACCCUAACCCUAACCCUAACCCUAACCCUAGAGAUCGGAGGAGGGAGAGGGAGAUAGAAGCUUCUGUUGGUGUCGAGGAGAGGCGGUGAUCGAGACCACGAUAAGGUUGAAUGUUGGAUUUCGGAUAAUUUAUCUGCUUAUUAUGUCACGACCCGUACCCGAUACCGACUCGGACAAAAAUUGUACGAAGACCCCUCGAAUAUAAGACGGUUUGGAAUAAGGUCUUCUAAUUUUUCUUUUUUUUAGAGAAAUUACUUGCACUAUUAGUCCCUGAACAUUCACUUUAGUUCUGUUUGGCCCUUAAAAUUUUACUAUUAUUAUUACAUCUAAAUCUUAUAAUUCAAUUUAUAAAUAUAGAAAGUACUGCACAUAAAAUUGUUAAUUGACAAAAUUAAAAUACGUGAUGAUAGAAAAUUAAAGGUUAAUAAAUGUAAGGUGCAUGAUUCCAGAGGUGCUCCAACUCCAUGGAUAGACACUAGACUCUUUUCCCUUGCAAUAUGUAAUUGCUGAGCAAUAACCAAAAAUUAAAAUUUUAAACAUAAAACUGUGUAAACUUCUAAAACUUUAAUGUGUUGACCUCAUUGAUAAAAAUAAAAAUAUAGCUGAGUGGGUACAUUGGACUUAUUAUUUGUUAUUAAAUUUUUUGUUCUAUAGUUUUUUCUAUUUAAAUUAGUUAAUUUUUAAUUUAAAAUUUUGAAUAUUAAUUGUUUAACAUUUUACGGUCUGCAUAAGAGGAAGUUUACUGUGUAAUAUUUAUACCACAUCAUCUACUUCCAGCCAGUCAUAUUUUUUUCUUUGAAAGAAAAAAUAUAUAAUUUUUUUUUAAAAAAAAUCAUGAUGAAAUGGAUGAAUCUUAAAAGAGUAUUUUGAUUAAUUAAAAAACACCAUAUUAGUAAUAUAAGUGUUGAAUUUUAGAAUUUUUCGCAAAAGCGGCUAUUGUCACCAUUUGUUUAGUUGGAAGUUAAGGGGUGGAAUAACUCCUUAACCCCCAUAUUAUCUCUAAACAUCCCAAAAAUGGGUGGGGUUAGCUAACCCCACCUAAUCCAGGAUAGCCCAUUUUGGGUGAGGUUAGCUAACCUCACCUAACCCCACCAAAUUUCAACCAAACAUUAUUUUCUAUUCAUAAUAAUCCACUAUCCUUCUUAUUCCAUAUACUCCAACCAAACACUAUUUUUUACUAUUCUGGACUAACUCCAACCCCCAACCAAACAUAAAAAUACUCUAUUCCCAUCUUAACCCUGAACUUAAUCCUAUUUUUAAAAUAACUAGUUUUUUCUUAAUCCCGAACCAAGCGAUCUGAAAAAGAUUAGAGAGUACUGGAGCAUGUGAAGAGAAGUUGGAAGAACGUGAGAAGGGACAAAAUGGUGGUGGUAUCCAACCAACCAAAAAUGGGGACGCGUCCGUGAAUUUAUGACCUUUUUUACACAUGAAAAUUAAAUUCUAAACAGUUAAACUAAACCCAGGUGCCAUGAGAUUCAGAUGCUCCCUCUUCAAAUGCUUUACUAUCUUUUAUUAUUAUUAUUUAAUUUGAGGGAUUAUUUAACAAUCUUUGGGAGCCCGAAAACAGAGUGAGAAUCUAUUUUUAUAUUUUAAAGAGUAGAAUAUUUAAAAUUAUUUUUAAAUUUAUUUUGUCUAAAUAAUAAAUUAUUGAUAAACAUUAUUAUCAUCGCAAAUGCAUAUAAGAGAGGCACGGUAUACUAGCCAUUAAUAACUAAUGUAAGUCGUAAAUGGAGCUCAUAAUCAGAGCCCAUAAACAGGAGUGAAAGAACUAUACUGCUGGAUUUUCUUUUUUUUUUACUUCUAAUCCUCAUUAGAGUAAGCACGUUCAGAUUAUAUAGGAUAUUUGGCAUGCAAAUUUUCAGAAUAUACAGUGCAUUAGUUAUUCUUUAAUGAGUAAGCAAACUCACGAAAACUCUGCUAAUAAACUUAUAGAAUUAUUAGUCUUAAUCAUUAAUUUGACUGUGAUUCGAUCUAACGCGAUUUUCUGUCAUUUCGAACGUAAUUCGGUUAUACUCAAGCUUCCGUCUUUUUGAACAUGACUCGAUCUGAUAGCCCGAUGCUAAUUUUGUAAGCGAACGAAGUAUAAUUGCGAGGUACAAAAAUUAUGGCAUUUAAGAGUUCUACCUAGGAACACUCUAAUUAAAGAAAAAGAAGAAACACUUCACAUGGUUGCAUCAGGCUUUAAUGAUGAACCCCUCUCAUGAACUCUGUUUCCAUCUCGUUUGUAAGCGGAGGAGCCCAUCAACCUCAAACAGCUGCUGACACUUCCAACACCACCUCCACCUCCAUUCCCAUUUCCCACNGGUCCCUGAACAUUCACUUUAGUUCUGUUUGGCCCUUAAAAUUUUACUAUUAUUAUUACAUCUAAAUCUUAUAAUUCAAUUUAUAAAUAUAGAAAGUACUGCACAUAAAAUUGUUAAUUGACAAAAUUAAAAUACGUGAUGAUAGAAAAUUAAAGGUUAAUACAUGUAAGGUGCAUGAUUCCAGAGGUGCUCCAACUCCAUGGAUAGACACUCGACUCUUUUCCCUUGCAAUAUGUAAUUGCUGAGCAAUAACCAAAAAUUAAAAUUUUAAACAUAAAACUGUGUAAACUUCUAAAACUUUAAUGUGUUGACCUCAUUGAUAAAAAUAAAAAUAUAGCUGAGUGGGUACAUUGGACUUAUUAUUUGUUAUUAAAUUUUUUGUUCUAUAGUUUUUUCUAUUUAGAUUAGUUAAUUUUUAAUUUAAAAUUUUGGAUAUUAAUUGUUUAACGUUUUACCACCUGAUUGGGGACGGUCUGCAUAAGAGGAAGUUUACUGUAUAAUAUUUACACCACAUCAUCUACUUCCAGCCAGUCAUAUCUUUUUUUUUGAAAGAAAAAAUAUAAUAAUUUUUUUAAAAAAAAUCAUGACGAAAUGGAUGAAUCUUAAAAGAGCAUUUUGAUUAAUUAAAAAACACCAUAUUAGUAAUAUAAGUGUUGAAUUUUAGAAUUUUUCGCAAAAGAGGCUGUUGUUACUGUUUAUUUGGUUGGAGGUUAAGGGGUGGAAUAACCCCUUAACCCUCAUAUUAUCUCCAAAUACUCCAAAAAUGGGUGAGGUCCGUCUAACCCCACCUAAUCCAGAAUAGCCUAUUUUGGAUGGGGUUAGCUAAUCUCACCUAACUCUACCAAAUUCCAACCAAACAUUAUUUUCUAUUCAUAAUAAUUCACUAUUCUUUUUAUUCCAUAUACUCCAACCAAAUAUUAUUUUUCACUAUUCUGAACUAAAUACUCUAUCCCCAUCUUAACCCUGAACUUAACUCUAUUCCUAAAAUAACUAAUUUUUUCUUAAUCCCGAAACACACGAUCUGAAAAAGAUUAGAGAGUACUGGAGCAUGUGAAGAGAAGUUGGAAGAACGUGAGAAGGGACAAAAUGGUGGUGGUAUCCAACCAACCAAAAAUGGGGACGCGUCCGUGAAUUUAUGACCUUUUUUACACAUGAAAAUUAAAUUCUAAACAGUUAAACUAAACCCAGGUGCCAUGAGAUUCAGAUGCUCCCUCUUCAAAUGCUUUACUAUCUUUUAUUAUUAUUAUUAUUUAAUUUGAGGGAUUAUUUAACAAUCUUUGGGAGCCCGAAAACAGAGUGAGAAUCUAUUUUUAUAUUUUAAAGAUUAGAAUAUUUAAAAUUAUUUUUAAAUUUAGUUUGUCUAAGUAAUAAAUUAUUGAUAAACAUUAUUAUCAUCGCAAAUGCAUAAAAGAGAGGCACGGUAUACUAGCCAUUAAUAACUAAUGUAAGUCGUAAAUGGAGCUCAUAAUCAGAGCCCAUAAACAGGAGUGAAAGAACUAUACUGCUGGAUUAUCCUUUUUUUUACUUCUAAUCCUCAUUAGAGUAAGCACGUUCAGAUUAUAUAGGAUAUUUGUCAUGCAAAAUUUCAGAAUAUACAGUGCAUUAGUUAUUCUUUAAUGAGUAAGCGAACUCACGAAAACUCUUGCUAAUAAACUUAUGGAAUUAUUAGUCUUAAUCAUUAAUUUGACUGUGAUUCGAUCUAACGCGACUUUCUGUCAUUUCGAACGUAAUUCGAUUAUACUCAAGCUUCCGUCUUUUUGAACAUGACUCGACCUGAUAACCUGAUGCUAAUUUUGUAAGUGAACGAAGUAUAAUUGCGAGGUACAAAAAUUAUAGCAUUUAAGAGUUCUACCUAGGAACACUCUAAUUAAAGAAAAAGAAGAAACACUUCACAUGGUUGCAUCAGGCUUUAAUGAUGAACCCCUCUUAUGAACUCUGUUUCCAUCUCGUUUGUAAGCGGAGGAGCCCAUCAACCUCAAACAGCUGCUAACACUUCCAACACCACNGCCGAGUCUUCGAACCGGAUUCCGGCUCAGGUGAUGCUUCUCCCCGCUCCUUCACCGUCUCCCCCACCACCCACACCGUAGUUCGCUCCAACUCUUCCGGUAUCUACGGAAGCGCCCGUGUUUUUACCCGAUUCUCCGAGUAUGGAUUCGCCGUUAAGCAUGCGGGUUGGCACUUCUUGAGGCUACAUUUUUACCCUCUUCGUAGUCCUCGGUAUAACCUCCGGUCGGCGUGCUUUUCCGUCGCCGCUAAUGGAUUCACCUUGCUUUAUAGCUUCUCUUGCUCGAAGAUGAGUACUAGAAGCUCUGUUCAUUACAAAGAAUACAUUUUGGAGGUGAAUUCGGAGUCGCAACCGUUAAUUUUGAGGCUAACUCCUGCUAAUGGGUCGAUUGCGUUCAUCAGCGCAAUUGAGGUUAUAUCGAUUCCCGACGGAUUGGUUCCGUCCGCCGCCGCCACCGUUCCGAUCGGGCCUUAUGUCAAUAUCUCCACACACUUGGCCUUUGAGACCAUUUACAGGAUUAAUGUGGGAGGUGUAGCUAUUGGUUCGAAAAAUGACACUUUUUGGCGGAUUUGGGAGACGGAUCAACCGUUCUUGAUCAAUCCUGCUUCUGUUCACACCGUGUCAACCGAUCCGCAUAAUGUUAAAUACCCGCCUGGAAUUCCGUCUUAUACGGCCCCGAAUUUGGUUUAUGCCACCGCGCAAGAAAUGGCGGAUGCUAACGUUAGCAACCAGAAGUUCAAUAUCUCCUGGAUGUUUAAAGUUGAUUCGGGUUUUCGGUAUUUAGUUCGGCUACAUUUUUGUGAUUUUAUCAGCAACAAUACAAGUAAUCUCGUGUUCAAUGUCUAUAUGAACAACGAAUCUGCGUUGAGCUCAUUUGGUAUAUUGAGCAAGGCUGAGCUGUCGACUGCUUAUAUUGUGGAUUUUGUACUGAAUGUUCAGAUGGAAACAGAUAAGAUUUUAGUUCAAAUUGGGCCACCACAAAUCAUGAAUGUGGCGCCAAAUGCGAUUCUUAAUGGACUUGAGAUUAUGAAGCUCAGUAAUCAGGACAAGUACCUCGACGCAUCUCAUAUCGUUAAUAAUAUCAGUUUUGAGGCAUCAAAGCAAAAUAAGAGAUCAACAACACUUCUAAUCACAUUAACUGCUGUGGGAGCAGCUCUUCUGGUUUUCAUUGUUGCAAUGUUAUUACUGUGUUACAGGCAUUACAGUAAUAGUAAUAAGAAGAAGAGCCCUUCUUUAACAUGGCUGCGUUCCUCUAUUGCUCCCAAUUCACAGGCGAAUAACUCCAAUACAAAGAUAUCCACCCGCAGUUACUUUUCGUCGGGGCCAUCUCUAGGAUUAGGGCAACUAUUGGCAUUCUCGGAAAUAAAACAGGCUACUAACAACUUCGACGAGAAUCUAGUUAUAGGUGUGGGAGGUUUUGGUAAAGUGUACAAAGGAGUAUUAGAGAAUGGCAUUGUAGUCGCGGUGAAGCGAGGAAACCCACAAUCCCAGCAGGGAUUAAUAGAGUUUCGUACAGAAAUAGAAAUGUUAUCCAAGUUACGCCACCGCCACUUAGUUUCCCUUAUUGGGUACUGCCAUGAGCCCAACGAGAUGGUCCUGGUCUACGAGUUCAUGGCCGGUGGGCCCCUUCGCAAACAUUUGUAUGGCUCGGAUCUUCCCCCACUCUCAUGGAAGCAAAGGCUUGAAAUUCUCAUAGGAGCAGCUAAAGGCUUGCAUUAUCUCCACACAGGAGCUGCUGAAACUAUCAUUCAUCGAGAUGUUAAAACGACUAACAUUCUUCUCGAUGAGAAUUUUAUAGCUAAAGUUGCCGAUUUCGGCUUGUCCAAGUCAGGGCCAACUUUGGACCAGACCCAUGUGAGCACUGCUGUAAAGGGAAGCUUUGGCUACCUUGAUCCUGAGUAUUUUAAAAGGCAGCAAUUGACUGAAAAGUCGGAUGUUUAUUCUUUUGGAGUUGUUCUAAUGGAGGUAUUAUGCGCGAGACCUGCAAUUAAUCCUGCACUUCAUAGAGAUCAGGUGAACAUAGUGGAGUGGGCGAUGAGCUGGCAAAAGCGCGGACUCUUAGAGCGGAUAAUCGACCCCCAUCUUGUGGGUAGUGUUAGUAUUGGCUCCAUAAGGAAAUUCGGUGAAACUGCUGAAAAGUGCUUGUCAGAGUACGGUAUCGAGAGGCCAACGAUGGGUGAUGUGUUAUGGAAUUUGGAGUACGCUCUCCAAUUACAAGAGUCAUUCGCAAUAGAUGUUGAGGAGGGAAGCAGCAUAAGCUGUAUCGAAGGGCUUCCUGAAAUUAUUCCAGAAAGGGGGAAUGCGGAGCGUGAUAUGUCUAGUUUUGUCAGCGGCGGAACUGAUGCAGCAACGAGCAGAGUAUUCUCUCAGUUAAUGGAUCCAAAGGGAAGAUAGGAAGCUGCAUAGCAGUAAGCUUACUCAUUUUUCUGACGCUCGUCGAAACUUUGCUCAAUAUAGGCUUUAUGUUGUAAUAUCCUGCAGCAAAUAUCACUGAAGGGUUGUUAUUGUCGCAUAAUUACUAAAAUUGUAAACAACUAUUCUGUAAUGUGAUUGACUUGAGAAAUUCCGUCCGAUAUAAAUACAUCAAAUUUAUCUUCUUAUCUAUUUUCUUUACUGUUCUUUGUGCCAUCUUUGUCUGGAUUGCAUGAUAUAAUUUUAUCACAUCUUUGUUUUCUCCUGAAAAUCCUUUAGCCAAUAUUGAACCUUUUCUUCUCUGUUUCAGUUUAAGAACAAGGAUUCGUUGCGGAUUUUGUAGAUUGCAAUCUUUUUUAGUAACAUUCUUGUAACUUGCUCAAUUAGGCUUGGGGCUUCUAAAUGGUGCAAAAUAGUCUCUCUAUAAGUAUAUGAUGAUGGAGAAUCGAAGCAAAUAUUAUUUGAGUGAUGAUGCUAAGAUUCGCCGAAGUGAGUUAAGUUCUUUUUUAUAGAAAAAGUGAUUGUUUGAUAUUAUUUUACAUGGUAUAAUAGAGUGAUUGUUUGAUAUUGUUGGCAACAGAUAUUAUUUUACAUAGUAUCACAGCAAGAAGUCCUGAUUUUAAAUUUCGUUAAUGUGUAGUGGUCGAUAGCUAAUAGAAUUGUUAAAACUUAAACAAAUUUUUUAAUUUAACUAACUAAAGUAAAGUUUAGGGUGCUAUUUCCAAAUAUCCCAUAGUUGCGGGGUACCUUUUCAUCAAAAAGUAAACAUUCGCCGGUAGACCCGGUCCAUGCAAAUGUAGACUCGACACUCUUCGUACCACGCACCGGUGAAGAAGAAGACUCUUUCUAGGGUUUCUCUUGGGUUAAUAAAAUGGAAGCGUCGAAGCUCCUCAAGGAGAAGAGAUUCUGGAUCGCAUCCUUCCUCGUUGUGUGGGCCGCCGCUCUCCAGGUUCGGCAAAAGAAAAAACCCUAACCCUAACGCCAACCCCAACCCCUAUCUCCGAUCCUUUCCUGUUUCUCUCUAAACCCUGAUUCGAUUCCUCUCCCCUCGAAUCAUCCCCGCAGGGGCACAUGAUUUGGAUGCAGAAGCAAGACGCAUUCAAGCAGAAAUUUGGUGAUUUGAGCGAGGAAAAGGACGAGCGCGACUGAGGAUCCCGACCAAAAUCAGAUUUUUUUGUAGAUGUUCCCUGAUGAAUCCGAAUUGGUAUGUGAUGAUAAUCAUUGUUGUUUAAUCUCUUAUUUUGAGCGAUAGAAGAUAUUAAUACAAGAUGACGAACAAUGUUAGCUUCAUUUGUAGCAAAUAAAUUGUUUGUUUCGGUAAGCUUCUUGCUUUACGCUCAUCUAUGAUCUACUUUACAUGUCUGACGUAUAGUUAUUCUGUGUGUUCUUCUGUCACAUUUAGAUAGAGGAUUAUGUCUCAUCAUCAUCAUCAUCUGUGUUCUUCUUCUUCUUCUUCUUCUGAAGUAUUGCUGAGCAUUCAACUGUUGAGACUAAGCUACAACAUUUAUGCUGUUAUAUUACCUCUGUAGGAGAGAGAGAGAUUUCAAAGUAUAAGCAAUUGGCAUAUGGCUUCAUGUUUCAUAUGAAAAAAGAGGAUGUCACAUACUAUUUUCUUUGCAGUAACUUAACUUAAUGUUCCUUUUGUACCAUUGUGAUUAUAAUGUGGUUGAGAGCAAAACUACUUUGUUAGCUAAGGGUGUUUUUGUUUGCCGUAGUCGGAAGAGGCGGAGGUUGCGAGUUUCGGUAUGGUAGAGUAUAAAGUCACACUUUUGCGUCAUACAUAAAGUUGGGCCCGGUGGUGCUCGCAAAAUGUACUUAUUCAAUUGUUCUUCGCAAAGAUUAAAGUGCCCAUCGGCACGGGUCGUAUUCACCGUGUCGUAUCGUGUCAGCAAAAUAUCAGCACGAUACAGUUUCCGUACCGAUGAUACAAUUCAAAACUCUUUAUUUUUAAAAUUAGUAAGUAAUUUUCUUAAUAAAAUUCAAAAGAUUUGAUAAAAAUGCAUAAAAAAUAAUUGUCAUAAUCUGUUGCUAAAGAAAAUAAAUAUUUUAUACCAUUACAUGUUGGCACACAUAGCACGCAUCGGCACGGCUGGAUACGCACCGUGCUGACAAGUUUUCGGCACAAUCUCAUGUUACGGUAUUUAAAUCCUUGAUUCUCCGCAUCUGAUAUCUGAAUUCGUUGGUUUCGUCCAAACGGCUGCCCCGGUGGUUUUGAUGAGCCGAGGGACUUCUGCGCCGGAGAUCCAGUGAAACAAAUACAUUUUUAUUUAUGCGUCUCUAUCAGACAUAACCAUGACCUGAUGGGCCUGAUCUGGUCUUGAGGACGAUGAUCCGAUUCGAACGAAUAACAAUGGGGACUGAGCCCGAUUCUUUCCUUGGGGCAACUUGAACCUGGCGUGACCCAAUACGAACCCAAUCUAACUAACCGAUGAAUCCGAUCUGCGGUAAUCACGUUGGUACUAACAAUUCAUAUUUACAAACAGUUUUUAAAUGAAUAAUACAUUGAUGAUAUAUAGUUAUUUUUAACCUCUAUUAUAAUUUAUAAAUAGAUUCAGGUUACUUAAGUAUGUACAGCGAGUGACUUAUUAUGAUAGUUUGAGCCUCUAUGAUAUCCAAUGGUGCAAAAUUCAACCCAUGGAGCAAUUCAAAAUAAUUAUGUAAUUAAUUAUUCGACAUCAAAUCAGUGUGAAGCCAAGCUGAGAAAUGAGAAUCCAUGUAUUCUUUGAACAAUUAGUAUGUAAACAACUAAUUUAGUCAAUGCUCAAUAUCAUAUUAUUUAGUAAAUAAAAGCAAAAUUAGAUGCAGCCUCUUCCUAAUUAAGUAAGUUCGUGGAGAAAAGAAGCGGCCAUUUUGAGUGAUUAAGUCAUCAGAUAGAGAAAGUUUAGCUAUUUUAUUAAUAUAUGCAAUGCUUUAUUAAGUGUUGUAGUUGAAUAGAGAUUAAAAAAAAUGAAUAAAAUGUAGUACAAAAUGUGUCAAUCCCUUGCUUAACUCAUAUCGCAAUUAUGUCGGUACUAUUUGACCUUAAUCAACCAAUCAAACGGAGCCCUAAGAAAGGAAGAAACCUAAAACCAAUUGGCCCCGCUUGUUAUAACGUGGCAAUGUAUGAUUGGCCUCGAGACGUAUAGAUUAUAAUAUAUGCGUUGCUUCAUUCUUAAGUAAAGUAACAGUUAGAGUUAAUGUCAAAGUUUAGUGAUUAAAUCGCUGCGUUGAGCGGCCGCAAAUUGAAUGAAUGAGGUGAAAGGUGAUUACCAAUCUGACCAUAUAAGAUGCAAUGAAUCCAUUGUAGCCAAUCGUACAAAAUAACUUGGUAAUUUCAACACCAAUUAAUAACUUGAUUCCCAGUUUCAUGAGCUCACUUGAGAAGAAUACGUCAUUGUCUACGUCUUUUCUCUAUUUCCACUUCUUCUUUUUUUUACAUUUUUUGCCCUAUUUUAUACUACUCUGCAUAGCCUACUUGAUUCAAUUACGUUAUUAUAAUGAUCGUGAUUAGUGUAAAUAUAAGGAGUGAUUAAUUAGGGCCAUGGAAUAUAUAUAUAUGAGGAGAGUUGUUCUGGUUAACCCUUCACUGCUUAUUCUGAACUUGUAUACGAUCCUGCACAUUCAAAUAUGCAGCGACGCGACCGAAUAUUUUGUAACUAAAAAUUAAUGAAUAUAUGGGUUUUACAAAUAACCCUAAUUCAGUGAUUAAGUCCCUACAAUUCAUUUGCUUUGGCUCUUUUAAAUUAACGUCAGUGAUAGAACUUACAUUUUGUCCCACCUUUGGUGCAUGAUUUGCAUUAGCCAAUCCUCAAUUGUCAACCCAGAUCAGGGAUUAUAUUAUGUUGUAUAUGUAGGUUUGGUUCGUUAACACGAGAGUAACUUAGAUUUAAGCAUUUUAAAGUGAUAGGAUAGUUUCAGAUUUUGGUGUAAGAUAAAUUUACGGCAUAGUAUGAGAGACAUCGCCUUGAAGUUAUGAAUGCGCACAAACAAUUCUUUGCGAGGAGUUUUCAGUUGUGAACAAACAAAAUUUAGAUUGAAUGCCAAUAUAAGUUUCCUGAGUCCCAAAUACCGAAAACUUUAUUUCUAAACUUCUACUUUUGCUACAAUGCGCGCCAUUUAUAACAAAUUUAAUUAACAAAAUUAUAAUUGUCUUUUCUAAAUAAUUUUAUUCAGAUAACACUUCUGCGUAAGCUCAGAUCGAACAAAAAUCGUCUAAUUAGCAAAGUGAGCACUUUGACAUGAACCCACCUACCUACCUGUUGUUUGGUGGUUAGGGUUUAAAACUCGAAGAUUCUACAUACAAAGAAACAAUAGAAUACCAACCAUCCAAGUAGCAAAGGGCUUGGUGGUUGAAACUCGAGACCCAAGUUCGAAUCCUAGUUGAUUCAUAUUUCUUGCUAAAUUUAUUUCUAAAUGAAAUAAACGAAACGGAUAGCGUGCUACCUAUCUCUCCAAAAAAAAAAAAAAAAAAAAAAAAAAAAAAAAAAAACUGAUGUGGCCGGUUCCUACAUACAUUCUCAACUUCUCUAGAUACCACACAUGAACAAGUAUAAAGUAUGAAAGGUACAGCUGCUGCAGCAGCAAAACAGAUGUUCCCACACUCUGACAACGUAUUAAAGAUACCGACCGUCCCUAGCAUAAGUGACAAAAGAUUUAGUGGUUGGUACCUGAGGUCCCAAGUUCGAAUCCUUGUUGAUUUAUAUUUCCAACUAAAUUUAUUUCUAAAUAAAAUAAACAAAGCGGGUAGCGUACUAUCUAUCUCUAAAAAAGACAACAUAUUAAAGAUUUCCUUCAUAACAUAAUGAGUGUUUCUCUACAAAACCAAAAAAUAAAUCCGGCUAAAUUACACCUAUGAUACUCAAACUAUGAGGUGCAUAACAUUUUAUUUCUCAAACUUUUAUUUAUUAUAAUUUUUUAUUCAAAUAUUAUAAAUUAUUAUAAUAAAUUUUUAUAAUUUCACUAAAUAUUGACGUCAUUUAUUAUUAUGACAUCAUCAAUCACAACACUAUUUUUUAUAUUAAUGAUACAUUAAUAUUUACUUAAUUAAAUUAGAUUGUGAGAUUUAAUUACAAUAAUUAAUUUAAAAAAUUCAAGCAAAAAUUAAAACAUCAUACAAACCAAAAAUAUAAUUUAGCGGAUAAUAAAUAAAUACAAAAACUUACCACCCAAAUAUUGGCCUUAAGUUUUGGUCGUCGCUUCGUAUUCUAAUAUCUUAUUUGAAUGCACGUUUCACAACGUCACUUAGAGGAGCAUAAAAGUCAAAAGACCAAAAGUCAACUCUCCUUUGUUAUACUCACCCAAGUGUUCUCAUCUAUGCACACAUGUUUAAUUAAGACCCUCUAGCUAUUUAAUUAAGAGUAGUAGGAAGCUUCCCUGAAACGUGUAAACCUCUCCUGUCUUUUUAACUUGUCGAAAAAGAAAGAAAGAAAGAAAGAAAGAACCAAACAAGGGUCGAAUGAAUCUACGUGGUCAAUCAUUAUCCACAACAACACCAAGUUAUUGAAAAAUGUAGUGUAGAGUUGGUCCACACCUACUACUCUUUUAAGACUCAUUUUACACUGGCCAAGUAGAAUAAGGUGUUCGCGCUAACAUUUGGGUGGACCUGCUCUAGAACAUUCUCAUCCUUUCUUUCAAUAUCUUCGUAGAUCACAUACACGCAGGUCGGAUUACAACCUAUACUCCAUAAGCCUUUUGAGUGUUGUGAAGAAUAUUUUUGCUAUGUGAAGUGGAAGUUUUAAUUUAAAUUUUCUCCUUUUCGGAUGCAGAGGCAUGAAUUUGAUUGUAGAAUCAGUAAUAUUAUGCUCUGAAAAGGAAAAUUAUUUUUUGCACAUGAUAUAUAUACAUCGAUCAAUACCACUCAGAAGAUCGGAUUGUUAGAUUUAAAAUAUGAGAUGAGAUAGAGUACGGAGAGGAAACAGUGCACAAAUAAAAUAUGCAAAGGCACUGCACUGGGUGCAAUUAAUAAUUUGACUCUAUUUUGUUUCAACAAUUUUUCGGUGACUUCUCGAGUACUAAAAAGAUCGUGUUUGGUUUUUCAACAUCCUCGUCUUUAUCCCCUGAUUAAACACCCCGACAAUUAAGACCAAGAAGCAGUUUUUUCCACUUCUAGAAAAAGCAGCAACUACCCCAGCUUUUUUUUAUCUAUAUAUAUUUUUAAGAUAUUAUGUAGUUUCACAUUUUUUUAAUUUAGUACCAUAUAUAAUUUAAAGUGUAUCAAUUUAGUAUUCUAGAUUUUUUUUUUCUUUUCGUCAGCCUCUCUGUUAACUUUUUAUUAAAUUAUAUAUAAAAAAAUACAGAUAUUUCACCUAUAAUUUAUCAAAUAUUUAUUUUAAUAUCUUUUAGUUUUACCUUUAUUACUGAUUUAAUAAAAAAAAAUUAGUGAACAAAAUAAUAAAAAAUAAAAAAUAAAAUAGGGUACGAAAGUAUUAUACUUUAAAUGAUAUAAUACUGAAGUAAGAAAGUAAGAAAAUAUAUAAGGGGUGAUAUUUAAAGUGUUUUUUUUUUUAUAAAAAAGACAGCUUCUGAUUACGGCGACUCGCGAUCGUUCGCGCUUCCCCUACCCUCCAAAGCAACGAACUCUUUAAUCAAACCUUUUAUUAGCAGCCACAAUAAUAAUAAUAAUAAUAAUAAUAAUAAUAAUAAUAAUAAAAUUAUAAAAAGGUCCAAAACUUUUUAAGCCAAUAGAAUAUGGGCCCCAGAUUCUCUGUCUCAACUCUAAGCAAAGUUGAAGUUUUGCACCCUCCCCAAACUCCUUAUAAAUACGCAGCCCCCGUGCCCCCACUCUUUUACUCCUCAAUCCAGUUAUUAUACUCCAACGUAUAAUUGUUUAGUUGAAUACAUUAAAAAAAAUGAAGAGGCAUAGGUUUCCUGAUCGGGAAGUAGGCGAGGUGGAGGUGGAGAGCAUCAACAUGGCCAACAUGUUGAUGUUCCUCUCGCGGGGCGACGGCGGUGGCGGUGGCAGCGGCUACGGCGGAGGCGAAACUGAUAGUAAUUCGCAAAGAGUGUUCGAGUGCAAGACGUGCGGGCGGAGAUUCCCGUCGUUCCAGGCGCUCGGCGGACACAUGCGACGGCACCGCGCUGCUGUGGCGGCGGCGGAGGAAGAGGUGGAAGGGUGUGGAAAUUUCAGAAUUGUUCUGGAANUUCCAGGCGCUCGGCGGCCACCGCGCCAGCCACAAGAAGCCGAGGCUGUCGGGGGACUCUGCGGAGGCGGCGGAGGCCGCGGUCGCGAAGCCGAGGGUGCAUGAGUGCUCCAUUUGUGGGCUCGAGUUCGCUCUGGGCCAGGCGCUCGGCGGACACAUGCGACGGCACCGCGCUGCUGUGGCGGCGGCGGAGGAAGAGGUGGAAGGGUGUGGAAAUUUCAGAAUUGUUCUGGAAAAGAAACACGAACGCAAAGGAGAAGAUGAGAAACGGGGGUCGUGGCUCGACUUGGACCUCAACAUGGCGCCUCCGUUGGUGGAUUUCUUUCAUUAAUUUGCUAAAAAUUCCUUUUUUUCCCUUUUUUUUUUUCUUCUCUAUCAUUUUUGAUACGGUAUUGUACCUGAGCUGAGUUCUUUUUUUUUUUGUUUAACAUCUCCCCACACUUUUAAAUUUUUAUUUAACAUCUCAACAUGGGUCGGGUUUGAAUUUCGGUAACUACUUAUUGGACCCAGAAUCCCAAUUUGUUAUCAAAAUUUUAGAUUGUUUUUUUUUUUUUUUUUGUUCAUUUGACUCCAGGAUAGAGCGGCUUUUCACGUAUGUACGUAAUCGUGUCGUGGCACUAUUUGAGAGUAAUACAAUUUUAUAUUAUUAUUAUUAUUUACUGAUAACUUGGGAUAAGAAUGAGAUUAUAUUACAGCUGAGCACGAGAGUGAUCCAAUUUUGCUUAAUUUAUGUCUAUUUAUUUAAAUUGUAAUUUUAUUAUUAUUAUUAUAUUUUACUAAUACAUAGCAUAAUAAAACACAACUGAGAUUAUUGGUCGGUGCAAGCGAAGAUGAUAUACGGAGCUAUUUGAUUAGCGUUUUUUUUCCGAGAAAACUCAUUGUUCAUUAAAUUUCGAAUGCAUAUUCAAUUUUGUUUUAAAGUUUAUUAUUGUUGUAGAGGGCACAAAGGCUGUAAUUCAAAAGAGCAGCUUUAUAAUCCAAAAGUUAAGUUUUCUAGAAUAGAAAAAAGUUCUCACUUUUAUUUGUCAAGCGUUUUGCAAGUUUAGAUCAAUAAAAUUGUUCUAGAAAACAAAGUACAUAUUAAGCGCCUGUUUAGUGAAGGAACACUUCUUUGUUUAAGAAAUAGAAUUUAGACUUCUAAGCAAAAUUAUGCAACUUGAGAUUCAUGUACCCCCAAAAUUCUUAAAAUUCCAAUUUUUGAUAAAGAAUGAUGUUCCAAACAAGAGAAAGAACUAGAAGAAAAAGGCCCCAAAUCACAUUAAGCUUUAUAUAACUGUUUAUAUACUCCACAUUAAGCUCCCAUAUCCUUUCCUUUUUUGGUCAUUUUUUUGAACUUUGCCUUUUAGGCUUCAUUUGGUAUUGCGGGGAGAUUGCGUUACGUGCGGUGAAAAAUGACAGUUUCUCGAUGAAAAAAUAUCAUAUUUAUUUUCGUACGUAAUAUUGCGUUUCGCAUACCGCGAUGAGUCGGUUACGAUAUAUUUUCUGCGGUCCCACCAGAAAACGCAAUAAGCAUACCCCUAUAUGCUUCUGCUUCCUCAGUAAAAACCAAAAAAAAAAAAAGAAGAAAAGUGGGGGUAAACUUAUACACCAAGAAUAAACAGGCUACAACCUCCUCGAGGUAUUAACAUUGUCAAGCAUUCAACAGUGGAGAGAGUUAGCAUAAGGCAGCAAUAAGAACAAGCACAGAAAACGCCAACAGGAUUAUGCUGCCAAAAAAGAAAUGUAGUUUUAAAACAAGAUAAUAUUUAUUGCCUCGGCAAUCGGCAUCACAUGAAAUGUACAGGUAUAAACUCUCCAACGACGAAAGAAACACCGUCAACAGCAGGUGUUACUCGUACACAUUCAAAGCACACACGAGCAAAAUAUGUGCUCGAAAACAAGUGUGUUUGUUAAAGGGUACGUAAGUGAAAAAGUCCAAAUAUAGUCAUUGGUUUUAUUUCCAGAAAACCAGAUUUUUUUUCUCGGAAGAAGAAACUUCAUUAAUAAGGACACUUGAUCGGCUCGGGCUGCAUCGCCUUCCUCACGAGCCCUGCUUGCUCCUGCUGAUGAACAGACAAGAAUCCAGUGGCCGUAGCAGCAGAAGGCGCCCUGCCCACAUAUUUUAUGUCCUCGAAAGAACCACGGCCGAGCGCCCGCAUGGCGGUACAUAGGCGAGGGGUGAUGUAAUUGUACGCCCCCAUGUUCAUCGGCUCUUCUUGGCACCACACAAUCUCUGCAUCUGGAAGAGAAAAAGGAGAAAAGAAAAAAAAAGGCGGGUCAAUCAAUUCAUCCAUACUUCCAAAAAAUAUUAUUUAGCAUGUUUGGCUACAAAUCUCUGAAGUGUCUUUAGACCUCAAAUAAAGGAUUAAAUUUUGAAUGGAAGAGCAAAAACAGCUUCCUCCUCCAUCGAGCUGAUAUAAUAGGACUAAGAUCAGAAUAACAUAGACAUAUUAUUCCAUCAUAUACCAAAAGGAAAGCGUAAGGUUCUAAUAGGACCUCCUAUGUUCUUUUAUUAGGAUGGGAACACUCCAAUGGUAUAAUCAUUAGUUCAUAUGAUGAAAGUGGCCCACACCAUCUCUUGUUAGCAUGUUUUUUAUUGUAAUCUUAAUAGUCAAAACGGCUCCAAUUUUCCAUAGAACAUGAAGAUUUAUAUUUGUUAGGAGAAAAAGCUAUAACUAACAAGAAAAUUUAGCAAACAAUGGCUGCCAAAACUGCACAAAGUUAUUUGAUAUAACAGGCAUAGAAUGUCAACAUUUCUGAAAUUUCAGUGUAAUGUAGCUUGUUUUGUGCCAGUUGCAAGUGUGCAUGUUCCUAGCGUCAUUAGUUAAAUCACCAAAAAUAUAGUGUAAGGCAUCGUACUUGGAUAUCGCUUUAGCUCUCUCUGAAUGAGGUCAUAAGGGAACGGACAAAGCUGCUCAACUCUACAGAUUGCAACAUCAUUCCGUUCAGUUUUCUUCCGCUCUUCAUCAAGCUCAUAGUACACCUGAAAGUGACAAAACAUUAGCAUUCAGUCCACAGGCAAAAAAAAACGAAAAAAAAAAAAAAACAUUUAUUAACUCACUCUUCUAAGCUGUUGCUAAGAGAAAUUCAUGAGAUCACAGUUUACAUACCUUCCCAGAACAUAAUACCAGACGGUUAAUUCCCUCCUCAACCUCUUUGUGAUCAUUUCUGUCCUUGAUAAGGCGCUUGAAGCGUGUCCCUUGCGUAUCAAAUCCGGGAUGGCCCUCCAUAUCAUCGAACUCAGAAAGGUGGGAUUUGCAGUCCUUGUGCCGAAGAAGAUUUUUGGGAGCCAUAACAACUAGAGGUUUCCGGAACUCCCUGUGUAUCUGGUCAUCAUCCAGAGAUUGUGUAGGCUCAAAUCUCUCUCCUUUCUUUAUGUUUUUAAUUUUCAUAUUUAGUUUUUUGUUAUAAAUGGUUAGAAGGAAGGAUUGUCUAUCCCGAUAGUGCAACUUAGGCCCAGGACUGUUUGCUUAAACACUCGUAGUUAUAGAACUUUCUCAUAUAUUGUAAAUACAUUCUUCGCCUCUGGGUGGGGGGUUGGGGGUUGGGUUUGAAGUUAAUCAUUUUACAGAAGGGUAAUUGGUUAUUUUACAAGGAAAAAAAAAGAUUUUCAUUUAAUGAGAAGUUCACAGACUGAGUUGCAAUAUGGCUACAAGGAUUAUCCUUCAUUCUAUCCUAAAAGGUGAAUACUAACCUGACGCCUCAGAACAUGGAAAUAAUUAGCAGGUGUUGUCACAUUCACAACUUGCCAAUUACACUCCUGGAUCUGCUUUCUUAGAGUUGGUUCCAUCUCGGGUAUCACAUAAGGGUUAUCAUCGCUCAUCUGCAAGGUAGUGUUAUAAGUCCUCGUAUAUGAGAAGCCCAGUAGUAUUUCUCAAACAAUUAUAAAAGACAUAAAAGGUUAAGCCUGAAUUCAAUGGAAGACUUUUCCUACGUUAAUAAUAUUGUGGUAUUGUAACCAGAAAACAUCAUCUUACAUGAGAUAAAGAAAGAGAAAAGUUAAAAAGAUAAGAGAUUCAAAAGGAUUUGUCAAAAUAAAAUAUCUGAGGGAUAAUACCUUUUUCUUACCAUAUCAGAGUCAAGAAAGAAUAACUAAGAAGAUAAACGCGCACAUAAGAGUGGCAAUAAUUGUGAUCAAUUGGAUGAAAAUUUCAAUUCAAUGAACAAAGUUGUUUAGUGGUCAUGUAAAUACCUGAAGGAAACGUUCCAAACGUGCACUAGAAUGUUCUGGGCCUUGACCAUCAUAGCCAUGAGGCAAUAACACCACAAGCCCAGUUUGGCGCAACCACUUUGCCUCUCCACUACUCAUAAACUGGUCAAACAGUACUUGAGCACCAUUGGAAAAGUCACCAAACUGAGCUUCCCAAAGAAUUAGAGAAUUAGGGUUUUCCAUCGAAUAGCCCAUUUCAAAUCCAAGAACUGCAAAUUCUGAAAGAGAGCUGCAUUCCAAUUGGAGGGUCAGCAAAAGUCAUCCUAAAAUUGAUCGCUUUCAAAUCAUAAAGUUGCUGCAGUCCACAAGACCACAACAGUGUCUGAACUAACAAAAGAAUCUUUUCACUCAGUUCAAAACCAAUGAAUUUCUUUACAUGGAAAAGCACUCAUUAUUAUAAGUAACCACAGUAGGUAUGUUACUGAGAAAAUGUGACAGGAAAGAGUAAAUCCAAGAGCAAAUAUUUUCUUAUUCAAAAGAUAGCUUAGAAUCUCUAGAAGAUACAUUUAGAUCAAUAGAAGAAAUUGCCAUAUAUUGGUUAGUCUAGCAACUUUUUCAUGAAACUGAACCAACCAUGUUGAGUCUUUCUAUCUAUGACAUGGAGUUCAAUACUCACAUCAGAUAAGCAGAUAAGCACAUAUCAAUGAAAUUUUGUCUACAUGCUGAUCAAAAUUUCUGAGAUUGACUACACUCAAUGUCAGUUUCCAAUUUUAAAGCGCUUGAGCAUCCACUGAGACGAAAUGGAGGUAAAACGAUUACCUUGGUAGCAAAAAUGCACCACAAUCUAAAGUAAUUAAUGUUGAUAUGUGACACCCAUAGAUAUACUAGAGGCCAGAAUCGGAACAGAAUUAUAUACCUGUUACUAACAGUGAACAGCUCCUCGUUUUGGUUCAUCAGAAUAUGAUCCAGAGGACAGUACUCUUCGCCUGUCUCUUGGUCAUGAAGCACUGAAUGCCGAUGACUAAAUGUACCUCUUUCGACAUCUUGGCCACUCAACCUAACAUGAUUGCCUUCCACUAUAAGAGUCGCAAAAGCAAGUGCCUCAGCAAGUGCCCAGUCAAUUCCCUCCCCAGUUUCAAUCAUCUGAGCACGCUGCUCAAAAAUCUUCUUCACUGCUCUGUGAGGCUUGAAAUUUUCAGGAAGAGUUGUAAUGGCUUGCCCAACACGUUUCAAUAUCUCAGGUUUGACCCUGCAUGUAGAGCAGUGGCAUAAGACCAAACGAAGAAAGGCUUUACUAUGAUAAGAAAGCUAGCUACAUCAAGACCAGGUCCUACCCAGUGUUUCGUAUACGUGAAAUCUGUUCAGGUGACUUGAAUCCUGUCCAAUAAGCAGAAAGCCAGUCCCUCCGCUGAGGUCUGUAGUCUUUGCUGUUUUCAAACUCUUUAUUCAGGAUUGAAUGUAUUUUGUUGUGGAUCUCUUGAAUUCGUUCUCUGGAGAUAUCCCCUGAUUCUAGAAGUUUAUUCUCAUAAAUUUUACGGGCGCUUGGAUGAUCUCGAAUAACCUAUUUUGGCAGAAUAUUCGUUAAUGUCAGCUUUAAAUUCAAAUUUAAUACUCAAUAAUUGCUGAGCUAAAGCAGUAGGCGGAGAAGAAAGUAUGUGAGGAAAGAUAUGAAAUCGCAGAAGAUAAUAGACAUUGUUUUAUUAGGUUAAAACCAGAAAAAGAAUUGAAAAGGUGCAAGGGAACAUCACCUUAUACAUCUUAGGCUGUGUAAAGGAGGGUUCGUCAAUUUCAUUGUGUCCAAAUCGUCGAUAGCAAACUAGAUCCACGACCACAUCAGAAUGAAAUGUUUGUCGCCACUCUGCCGCAAGCUCGCAUACAUGAACCACCGCUUCUAUAUCAUCACCAUUUACAUGAAAUAUCGGAGCAUUUAAGGCCUUAGCAACAUCCGUGCAAUAUUGAGAAGACCUCCCAGCCCUUGGAUCAGUAGUGAAGGCAACCUGAUUGUUAACUACGAUAUGAAUAGUUCCACCAGUUGUGUAAUUUGGGAGGGCACUUAGAUGGAGCGUCUCAUAAACAACACCCUGACCAGCAAAACUUCCAUCUCCAUGGAUCAGCACCCCCACGUUCUUUAUCCUAUCAUUAUCGUUAGAAUAAAAUUGUUUUGCCCGUGUCUUGCCAACCACAACUGGAUCGACAGCUUCCAAAUGACUUGGAUUGGCAACUAAAGAUAGAUGAAUUCUUUUCCCACCUCUAGUGGGCCUAUCAUAUGAGGUACCCAAAUGGUAUUUCACAUCCCCGGUCCCAGUAUACAACCCAGUUUCCCCAUCCACCGGCUUUGUGCCCCCACUAAACUCGCUAAAGAUCUGGGACAAUGGCUUCCUAACAACAUUGGCCAACACAUUGAGCCUCCCUCUGUGAGACAUACCAAUGACAAUGCUCUCCACUCCCAUAUCGGCAGCUCGAUCAAACAUCUCUUUCAUUCCUGGAAUCAGGGUUUCGCCUCCUUCGAGCCCAAACCGCUUCGCUGCAGCCCAUUUGGUAGCCAAGAAAUUCUCAAAUUCUGUGCUCCAGCUGAGCCUAUCAAGUAUGACCUCACGUCGCUCACGAUUGUAGGACCUCGGGUUCACGGCCUCAAUCUUGUCCCUAAGCCAAUUACACUUCUCUCUAUCAGGAAUAUGCAUAUACUCGUAACCAACAGUCCCACAGUAAGCCUGCUCCAGCCUGUUUAGAAUCUCUCUAAGAGUUUGCACGGGCCGAUUCUCCGAUAAGAAACCAGCCAUCCUCCAAACCCCGAGGAAGAACUCUCGGUCCAGGUCAGCCUCAGUGAAUCCAUAAACACUCAAGUCGAGAUCUUCAGGGAUCUCUCGCUUCUCCAACCCCAAAGGAUCCAACUUGGCCUUCAUGUGGCCAUUGACCUGAUAAGCCCUAACAAGUAGCAACAAUCUCAUGCUCUCCUGAAUAGUUUGACCGGAGAUCCCAGGAGAAGUAGAGGCUUGGCCAACAAAGUUCCUGAAGAAGUUAUCCCACGAUUCAUCGACGCUGCUCGGAUCGGCUUCCCACGCGCGCUGCAGCUCCUCCAAGUAGACGCUGCUGGUGCCAUCGAGGAAGCUGUCGGAGAGCCGCGAGAGAGGGACGGCGCGCGGGACCGGGGCGGCAGAGGUGGACUUGGAUCGGACAGCGGAGGAGUGGAAGCCCCGGGACGGAGGAGGAGGAGGAGGUAGGUGAUGGAUCCGAGCAGGGUAAUGAGGAGCUCGAGCGAUGUUUCUCCGCAUGGCGAGUCGAGCAGCGCUCGACGCGGCACGAAACCACGCCAUUGCGAUCGAUCGAUCGAUCUACAGCCCAAGUUCUACGACAACAAGAGAUUACAACCCAUAUCGUACUAUUUUAGCUCAAAAAAUGCCAAAAAUUCGCAAAAAAAUGAGCAAAAAACACGAUGGACAAAAACUUGAGAUAUUUUGACGCCAUUGUUGGAGUAAUCUACGAGAGAAAAAGGAGAGAGCGAAGGCGAUGAGAUCGUACCUGAAAACCCUAAACCCUAACCCUAGCAAAAGGAACGAAGGGGGAUUCGUUACAGUGGCACCGGGCUCACACCGGAGGAGGCAAAUGAGGAAACGGCGCCGCCCCUCUCUCUCUCUUUAUUGCGUUCAAAGCUUCCUCACCUUUUUCAGGAUCUCUAUUUACACCCCUCAUUUUACAAUAUCCGCGCCGGGGUUGCUCUCCUUCCAUUUUGCGAGCGUAGAGAAAAUGGGGAAUAUUGAAAUAAAAGGGUGGCGUAUAUCAGGGGGGGCGACUCGGUUGGUGCGUGCGAGCUAUUCAAACGGGAGGCUCAUAGGAAUGAGCGCACUUGAAAACGUGAUGAUGAUUGCGAAGUAGAAGUCGGUGCCGGGUCCCAUGAUUUGGCCGAAUUCUGUUAUUGCAUCUUAAAAUCCGGGGCCACUUCAAUUUGCAUCGGAGUCGAAGCGGUCUCGCUUAACAUGGACCCGGGUUAGGAUUCAAACUCGACAAUACGGCCCGUUAAUGGUCUUGUUUCCACAAGUUAUUCCAUGCACCCGGAGCACCACGUAUUAUACUCCGGAAAUUCCAUUAAACUUAAAAAAAAAAAAAUCAGAAUUUCAUUUUACCCGGUGUGUUUUGCCGAUAUGCAAAAGGCUGGAUCCGUCCAAAAUCACAAAUUACGGAUACCUGUUCUUAUAUAAAUUGAAAAAUAUUGUUUCUUCCUAUAUUAGUGAUAUUUAGGAUAUUUUAAUGUCUAGAUAAUAGAUAUUCAAAAAGUUAUAAUUAUUUAUACAUGUAGAUUUUUUAGAUGCUAUAAAAUAUAUCUACUUUGUUGAAAUUUGAAUUUAAGUGCAUAAAAUAUACUAAUACAUCGGGCACCUGAAUUAGGGAAAAUGUUUUGCCGUGCAAGAAGAAGCAUGACUGGAUACAAUCCUUUUGAGCCUCAAAAGUUGUCUUGCUUAAUGGACCUCUUUUUUAUUUGCCUCUUAGUUUGCGUAAUAGUCAUCUCUAGUCACACAUGAUUAGAAAACUCAAAAUUUGUGCCAGCAAUUUAUGCAUUCUAAGAAAACGUUUCCCAUCGUUUGUGAAGCAGUAACCCUUCUAACGGAAAAAAAAUUUAGUAUAUAUAUCAGUCAUAUCAUAUUAUUUAUUAAUAAUUAAUUAUAUAUUUUUUGAGUAAAAACUAUAAAAAGAAUGUUUUUUUAAUAAUUAUGAUAAGAUGUGUGAAUUCAAAAAGAAUAAUCUGAUUGAUUGAUGACACUAUAUCAAUAAUAAAAUUGAUGUAUUUUAAAUUUUUUUCCUCUAGCCUAGCACCCAAGUUGCAACAUGGAUAUGGGGGCAACACAAAUAUUUCGUUGCACUUUGACAAUUGGCUUAUCUGCUCCACUGAACUAUAAAGUUGAUUAGUCAGCGCCGAUUAUGUAUUUUUCUAUUAUUUUUUAUAUAUAGAGAGAGAGAAUUUAUGGGUUCUUGGCAGUGAGCAAUGCAAAAGCGAAAUCGUACUAAAAUAUACUAUAAGAUAUAUUUGAACAUACAGUGAAUGUUUUUAAUUAUGAUAAAAAUUAGAGACUAGCUCAGUUUAUAUGCGAAGCAAAUACCAAUAUCACAACAUCAACUUAAUUUUGUAUUAAAUAAGCAAAGAAAUAAUUGAGAUUCAUAAUCCCCUUUUUUUCUGAUUGGGCCAUGGCCUAGUAUUGUUUUAGGCCGGGCCAAAAUUAUACCUAUGUAGGCCUAAAACUCAAUGGGCUAUUCAUUGUGGGGCCCAAAUUAAAAAAUAUCGCAUUGGUCACGGGUGACUCAGUGACACGAACUCGGGUUGGGCCCGUUUUGGACCCUACCACAUUUACUUGCUUCGCAUCGUCCUUGAGAGCGAAAGAGAUAAAAAAACCCUCGCCCGCACCUGCAUAGCCCUCGCGAAUCCAAAAAGGGGAAGGAAAAAAAAAAUAUCGCGAUGGCGUCUCCCCCGCCCCCUUCGUCCCCGAUCGACACACUCUUCCUCCAAACCCUAAUGAGUCGCCUCCAACUCCGCCCCCCGUUCCUCGACACCAACUCCUUCCUCACCCAAACCCUAGACGACUUCCUCCUCCACGGCGCCGGCGACGACUCCGAUGAUCCCGACGACGACGAUGACGACGAUGGCGGUGCCGCCUCCGCCGCAGGGAGCAAGGAGGAGAGAAACCGCCGCGCCCUCGCCAAGGAGGAGGCGAAGCUCGAGAGGGAGAUCAUCCGCAUCGUCCACUCCGGCGACUUUCUCGAGGCCCUCAAGCCCAACUCGGGCCAAUCCGUCUCCAUCGGCGACCACAACAUCUGCGUAGGGUUCCACGAGGACCCCGGUUCCGAGUACCGCGUGUGGGAGUGGCACGGCCACGUGAUGCUCUUCGACGAGGAAGAGGGGUACUCGGCCGAGUACAUAUACGGGAACUACUUCGAGCGGUUGGCGGGCAAGAAGGGAGGGAGCAGAGGGAAGAAGGAUGAGGGGGGUGGGAAUUUGGGGCUUAGGGAUUUGAUCGGGGGGUCGGGCAAUUCGGUUGGAAAUGGCGGGGGCAGGGUCCUUCACCGUAACUCGAUCAGGUAAUGAGUCCCGUUUUCGUGUUACACCUACUUGAUAAUUCGAGGAGAGUAGGUAACUCCACUUCAAUGAUGGUCUUUUGCUCUCAACUGUUGGAUGAACAACAACAUUAUGCUUCUUUGCUACUGUGGGUUUCAUCCUGUUUCCUACAUGAAUUAAAAGUCUAAAAGUGAUAAAAGUACGGUACUGUUAUUUGAAUAUGUGGUUAUUUUGCAGCCUCGCGAUGAUAUCAUCUUUCUUUCUAGCUUUUGAUAUUUGUAUGAUGUUGAAGCAUUUUCAUCGAAGUUGGACAGAAUAACGAACUUUGUACUAUGUGUUAUAUUUGCUGUGUCCCAGAUAUGAUUGUUAGAAUGUCCAAAUCGUACCAUUUGCGAAUGAUUGCACACUCUUUCACCAUUAUGCCAGCUUUGUGAAACUGGAUAGAAACUAGAUGUAGCAUGUUCAGAUUUUUAAUUUUUUUUCAGAUUUUUCUUGUAACCGUCUUGUUAACUGUAGGUUAGCUCCUUUUGAACUGCCACUGUGCUUUAGACUAUCUGUGUAGGUAACUCUGCCGCCAAUCUUCGUUCUCACCUUUGCAGUGAGUAGCUUAGACAAUGAAACACCACAAAGAUGUAUCUCCUUCUCCCUAAUAUCUCGAUUUUUCCAUCACUACUUGGCUUUCUCACAAACUUCAUCUUGCUUAAGAUCCAGGCGGUUCAAAGCAUAAAAGUGGCAUCUUUCUAGUAUGGAGGUUGAAAUAUGAACAAACCUUUUGACUUCAAAUUUGAGGAAAGUUUUGAUCUGCUUUACUGACUUGAUGAUCCGAUCUGCUUAUUUCUGGAGGUAAGGGAAGGCAAUGUAGUUGGUAAUAUGUACCCUUUCCGAAACUGACUGACCCGAUCAAAUUUCAUUGGCCCUUGAUUUGCUAGCUGGCAUGAGCUCUUAUCAGCUGAAUCUUCUUCCGGUUCUCAAGCUUAUGAUUUACUUGCAUGUUAUUAGAUUCUGUGUAUAGUCUGUGAGAGGCCAAUCUGUAUGGAUUGAGACUAUGUUGUUACAUGGUAAUCAAUUAAUCAAAGUAUUAUUGUUCAAGACUCGAUCUAAUCACGUCUUUCUGUUGUAAAAUUUGUUGUUGUAUUCUUGCAUUCGCACUCUAAUUUUCCAAGGCAGUGUAAGCGCUUGUUGAUUCUGUUGAUGGUAAUGUGGAGGAACAAACCAUUGGUCGUGGAGUCAUGACAACUCCAUAUAUUCCAUAUGUUGGUGACUGUAACAUCAAUUUAUUUCAUUUUCCCCAUUUAUCCUCAUUCUCAUUAUGUGUCAAAGUUUGGUGUCAACAAUAGAAAUUUUCUUUUUGCUAAUUAAUAUGGUUCCAAGUAGCUCUCAAGGCAAUGUAUCCAGUAGAGCAAGCAUCUUAACUAAGUUGGACUGGCCUAGUUUAUAUCAUUGACUUGGUUGUCAGGUCAAAUGAGAAAGGAAGUUCAGCUAGCGUACUCUUAGAAGGCGUAAAAGUCAGCGUUCAGUGUUAGUUAUCAUACUUAAUGGAAGAGAUCAAAGAUGAAACAACUGGGAUGGUGAAAUCUUGUACUCUAACAACAAUAUUAUAUAUAUGAAUGUGGGGAUAGGGCUCAUUCUGCUUUAUUUGGAGAAACCCUAGAAAGCAUUGAAAACAAUAACUGUCUAGGUAAUUGACUGCCAAAGAUGGUCUGGUUGAGUAAUCCUGGCAGCUCCUUAUUUGCGGUUUGUACCCCAUAGUUCUAUUCAGUAAUUUGACCUAAGACACCCAAUAACAAAUAUGCUAAUGAUUAGAUGAACCAAUACGUUAGAAGGAAAACUUACAAUUAGUUUACUCCUAUAUUCAACUACAAUAAGAUGGAACUCCAGAUUUCUUCCCAUCACAUUGUAUAUUGUCCUUAACCCCCCCAUCAUUCUGUAGUUACUUAUUCAUGGAUUCCCUCACUUUAGAUUCUCAUGUGUUUCACAUUGAUUCUGUGCUGCAUUAACAUGCACAGUUUGACAUAUACCUUAUUAGUGCAGAAAUUGUUUUACUGUUUCACUUGCCAACUGUGUCUUUUAAGAAUUGUUCUAAUUGGUUAAAGCAGACAUAUACAGGAGAUUUAUGCAGUGGUGAAGCCAGCAUCACAUUUUCUUUAUGUUUUUGCUCAAAGGUUGUGGAAAGAAGCACCUCUAGAGAAUGUAUAGUAUAAGGCUGCACAAAUACGUACUUAGAUGAAGUGUAUAGUAUUAAUUUGGCGCAAAGCUCAUUCCUGCUAACGAGCAUUGCCCUAUGUUGCUAAAGAAAGACUAAAUUUGCUCUUGUUUGUUGAUAGUCAAGCUAUUUGGUAGCAACUUAUGUGCAAAAUGACUUGUUAGAGACAAGAAAAGUGCAUUAAGGGUCGACAUAGAAUGACUUGCAUAUAGCAUGCAAGGCUGUAUGUACAGAAUUUCUAUCAGUCCAUAAAAUUAAGCUUAGCAAUAUGACUAGCACAAAUAGGAUUUACGAUCUAGUUAUAGUAUGGCUAUAACAGUCCUGUGAGAAACUGACAGUGAUGUUUGUUUUAUGGUUUUAAUUAUACGCGUUGAAGCCCAUGUAAAUUGUAAAGCAAAGUCUGCCUAUGCAGUAUGCACCUAAUAUGAAAAGUUACAUGGUGAUUAAAGACUUAAAUCUCUACGUAUUUGAUAUGAGUUUGUCUUAUGGAGAUUUGCUACAUGCUGCCAUUUGUAGCUGAGCUGUAACAUCACUACAUCAGUAUAUGUUAGGCUCUAACUUAGGUAUGCUGUCCACUCAAUAAAGCGAUAAAUCUCUUAAAAUAGACUCCUAAAAAUUUAUGCUCUACGAGAAGAAGGAUAUAUUACUGAAUUCUUGAUAGAGAAGGUUGAUAUGAAAUAUUAUUCUGUGUAGCAUGUAAGCUUUGCUUCCUUUGAAUCUAAUGUUUUUUGGUGGGCAUCUUGCUUAAAGUGUUUUGAUCUGUCAAGAUGCCAGGUCAAGAUAGUAAAAGAUCUACAUCAUUUUUCUUUUUGGAUAUAUUUCAUAUUCAUCUUGUUUGAUUUGACACUGCUUUUUCGAGUACGAAAUGAUGCUAAUUUUCCAUAUAUUGCCUAUGCUCACACCCAGAUUUGUCUCUGCUAAAUAAUUACACUAACACUAAGCAGUGCCAUACUUGGCUGCUACUGCUCUCUUUUCCUUUUUCUCAUAGCAUUUGUGAUGCAUUAGAGAAUCAAUUUGUUGGUUUUCGUUUGCUGUAACUUUUUCCUGGAAUUUUUCUUCUGCUUCAAUGAUGUGUUAUGACUUGAGUGGAAUGAUGUGCUAUAUGCUAUUUGCACACUUUUUGUCCUUUUAUUCCUUUAGUCGAAGUCUAAUAUAGGCACCUUUGCUAAUCGCAUAUUUGAACCAGCAUAUUCUUUCUAAUCAAAUAUUUAUGAGAUUUAACAGGUUGUAUGAAGUAGAUGGGAUUAAUUAGAGGGUAAUAUAGGCACCUUUGCUAAUCGCAUAUUUGAACCAGCAUAUUCUUCCUAAUCAAAUAUUUAUGAGAUUUAACAGGUUGUAUGAAGUAGAUGGGAUUAAUUAGAGGGUAUUCUAGUUUAGUUUCCGGAUCUAAUUUGUGAAUGUUAUGCAGAUGAUGCUAGACCAACCAACCUCAUAUGCCAUCUCAUCAUAUAAAAGUGAUGAUAAUGUGGUAAAUCUUUUGAUCGCUCCUCAUUGAAUCUAUUCAGAUUACUUGGCUCUCAUAUCACAUCAAAAUAAUGAGCCUCCAAAAAUUCCAAGGUCGUCUAUCAUCAGAUGAUAUAUCUUAUGCCUCAGAAUAUUAAACAGUUCGCAUGUUAAUCUAUUCUGUGCUCGUGUCUAAUUGAUCAGUGAGCUGUUGAGUUACUAGCUCAAAAUACUGAGAGGGGACCAGUUGAAUUUUUUGUUAAUGCAGGCCCUUAAAGUCAACUAGAGGAAUUUCUAGACAUACGCCUUCUAUAUAUUUUUAUUUUUUAUAUUUUUUGCCGGUAAGUGAGGUCAUGCAGAAGCGAAGUUUUAAUUAGAUAGAAUAAGAUGAGAGAACAAUAUCAAGUCGGUGCAUGAGAGUUUAGCUACUUGUAGAGGUGAGGGUUAGUAGAGAGAGGUUGUGUCCUCUACUAGUUGUGGCUUCUUUGAUUAUUUAUUCGAUCCAAUCCUAAAUACCAAAUGGGUACUCAAAAGUCCACUUAAAUUAUUCAUCUACCUCAACAUGCGACUUGAUGAGUGCACGCCAAAUGUAGCUAUAGUGGGAAGCACAUUGUUCAUCUGAUCGAAGACAUGACACAGGUGCUCCUUUGAAAGCGAUUAGAGAUUAAUAUAUAGCUCUUAUUCUUUGAACUGCACUUACUCGAUCAUAUUAUACUAUAAUAAUAAUAAAAGGGACUACUGUGUUUCAACACUUUUAAACUGCUCACAAAGCCAAGUCCAGUAGAUCAAACUAUUACUUGAUCGGCAAUUAGUUUCUGUUCCUCAUCGCCGCAUGAAUUAAUAAGUCGAAGCGGAGUCAAAGAUGCGCACUCAUAUGUAGCCUCAUUUGCUGCGUAUAAGGACAUACUUCGAAGGGGUUGAAGACAAAGUGUACCAACCUGGACAAUGGACAUAAUAAUAUAUAUACCCUUUUUGUGUGAUGAUUAAUUGAGCAUAAAGGAGUUGGAAAGUUUACACAUGUUUGUUUUAUAUGCAUGCUUAAAACAGAAUGUUAGACGACAAGGGCUAACUGACCUUUGACCUUUCACGCACAAAUUUGUCAACCAUUUAUUAAACUAUUGCCAUGUUUGAUAAGCGGAUCAUGUGCUAAUGUGAUCAUCAAAACAUAAAAAAAAAUUUUAAAAAAAGGGGUUAAAACUUUGACAUUUUGAGGAUGUGCAUGCCCUAGAUGUAGACUUGGAAAUAACAUAGACGACAUUAAAUGAAAUUUGGACUCCAAUGAGAUUCCACUCAGAAACGUUUAUUUUAAUGCCAUAUGAACAAGGAUUGUUCUAAAAAGCUAAAACUACAUACAUCGUAAUUAAUAAGAAGCAUAACUUCUGAGGCCUGAGCAGGAAUAGCAGCUGAAAAAGUUGUUCUAAUUGGUAAUAUUAUAUGGACUUCUUCAACUGAGUAAAUAGAGUUAUAAAUAGAGGAUCAUGUGACUAAAUCUAGGCAUAUAGCUUUUCCUAUAAAUACCGUAUAAGUAGCCUGUGUGGAUUUUUAUUUAUGUAGAAAUUAAGCACGUAGGAAAACCCCAAGAAAGAAAAUAAUAUAUAGCUAGUAAUGAUACUUUAUAAGGGAAACUUUGAUCUGAAGAAAAAUUCAGAAUCUGGUCAUGUGAUCAGUUGCAUGCUACUUUUGGUUGAUCUGUGUUUCCAUUGGGCAUUAAUUAAUUAGGCCCCUUUUAUUUUUAGAUAUUUGGAAAUUAAUUAGUCCAUAGAAGAUACAGUAAACUUGUUUAAUUUAGUCAUGAAAUAGCGUAUUACUUGUGGCUAAUCAACUGAUUUAGAAAUCGUAAACCUAACUAUGCCAAUUAGUAUCAGUUCUACGCUGAAACGCACAAGCAAAGGAUUCGAAACUCCGACCUUAAAAAUAAUCCUUUUCGACAACCACCAACAAUUAGACUAAAGUAAUAUAGUAUAGUAAAAUAACAUACGAUAUAGAAUAAAGUAACGUAUAAGAUAUGUAAUCACGAACAUGUAAACAGUCAACUAGCUAGAUUCAAAGGUUAUAACUCCCCAGUCACAAGAGACAAAUAGCUAAGCCCAAAGUGUAAGCAUCACACCUCUCUCUCUCUCUUAUUUAAGACUAAAUCAUGUGUGUUUAUGUGUACCUCUCAUGUCAAGGGAGAUUGAAAGAGAAAGGAAACGGAAGGCCCCUUUAAUCCAGCAAAAGCCUUUCCUAAUUCCCCCACUCUCACCACCUAUAUUUAAAGCAUCUUGCAUGCGUUGAUUAACAUCUAUUUAUCUCCUCUCAAACUUCAAAACUUUCCCUUCCCCAUACUCCCAAUGAUCACCCAACUAUAUUAAUGUUAGUAUAAAUACACACUUACACUACAUAUAUAUAUAAUACUCUCCUCCAUUUUUUCAUUCCCUUGGCUCGUAACCAUAACACUCCCUGAAAACGGCGCCGAAGAAUCACAAUCGCCGUGUUCGCCCACUCCUCUACAUUUAUACUUGUUGACAAGGUAUGUUAUUGUUUUUUCUUUUUUUUUUCCUCAAAAAAUUGUAGAUAGCUACUUAAAUAAAAGAAUUAUAUUAAUUGGAUUCAAAUUUCGUUCAUGUUUUGUUCGUUUGGAUUGCUUGUCUGAUGAAGUUAUAUUUUUUUUCCUCUUGUUCUGCUAAUUGUUGUAUAAUUUUUUUCACAUUAAUUAAUAAGAUUAAAGUUAGAAAAAAAUUAAAUUUGGAUUAAUUUUGUGGUGUUAGGUGAUCAUAAACAAUAUAUGCUUGGUCACUUCCAGACCGAAGUGAAUUCCCUGAAGCCGGCUUCCGGAAUGUGGGGCGACGCCGGCUUCUCUUCGCUAUCUUCGACACUCGGCGCCGACUUUGGUAAUUUUCUCUUUUUUUCCUUUUUUUUUCUAUUUUGUUUUUUUUAAAAAAAAAUAUUGAACUUAAAUUCAAUUCAUUAAUGACCAUAUUUGUGGACGUAGGGAGCGGUGAAUCCUCUCGCAUGCGGAGUUCCAACGCCUCCUCCGUCGAGCUCGAGAGAUUGUGAGUCCCAUAGCAGUUCACUUAAUUUACCAUACUACCCUUAUCAGCAAAAUGCCAUGCAGGGACAGCUGAGUAAUUUAACAUAUCUGUUUUUUUUUUUAUUAUUUUUUUGGGUUUUUAAAUUAUUAUUAUUUUUUUAAUGAACAGCAUCAUGGGGGACUUGUUUCCAGUUUCUCACGAUUUUGAUGAUCUGCAACAUCACUUGGAUAGCUUUUCCUCACCUGUUCUAUCUCUUCCACACCCCACACUUUUUUCUACUGCUCUAUCAAAUAACAAUAUUGUUACAGGUACUCUCUCUCUCUCUAUCUCUUUCUUGAAUUUAUUUUUAUUUUUUCUCUCUUAUAUAUAUACACUUUUUUAGUUAAUUUAUUUUGAUGGCAUCUUUAUAUAUGCAUGGGUUUUUUUUGUUUUGUUGUAUAGUGGGAGAUAAAAAUGGUUUGAUGGGUAAUGCUGAUACCAACUCAGGAGCACCUCAGUAUAUUUUUCCUGCACCCAUAGCAGCUGUUAGUGCAUGAUCUCUAUUACUUCAUGUUUUUGAAAAACUAAUGCUCUCUCUCUAUAUAUAUUUGUAUCUAUUAUGUAAUGAUUAAUUGUUUUUAUAUGUCUAUUAUGCAUAUGUUUUGUCUUUUAAUUAGUGUAUAGAAAAGCAAGUGUGUACAAGAGAAGUAGUUGUAGAGAACGGAGAGAGUAGUUUAGGUUUAAGAGCAUUGAAGAGACUGAAGACGAUGACACAGGGGGAUCGGAAGCCGACUUCGGCGAGAAAACAGUUGCUGAAGGUGGGUCGAUACAUAACUAUAUAUCAUUUGUCCUUGUUGAAUAUCAUAAAGUAUUAAAACAUUGUUCAUUUUUCUUAAAUAAAUGAUAAUUUUUCAUGAUACCAAUGUAGAAGCUUUUAAAAUUAGGAGUCUGUUUUCGAUGGUCGAAUUUAAAUUUUUCUCAUCUCUAUUUUAAGUCCAUAUGGGAAGGAGAGUGUGUACUUUAUAUACAUAUAUUAUCCAGCGGGUAACAGCUUAAGCUUUAAGAAAAAAAAAAUUAUUGCAACUUUUACUUUCUUACUUUUCUUAUCUAUCUUUUUUUUCCCCUUUUUUUAUCGUCCGGAACAACAACUAAUCAUGCAUGCGUUGCGCUUGGAUCCAUGAAUAGGCACCUGCGAAGAGAAGCCAAAAGCUGGGAAAUAAGAUCACAGCUCUUCAGCAGCUUGUUUCUCCUUUUGGGAAGGUCAUUUCUUAAGAUCUAAAUUUAGUUGUAUUUGUCACGCCCCGAGCUCCGCCAAUUUGGUCAGAUUCGGGCACCCCAACAGACCGCACAGUACUCUUUCAAAUUGAAAU